This 47979-nucleotide long non-coding RNA is filed under the name Solanum tuberosum (potato). RNAcentral's name for it is "long non-coding RNA (STUB_LNC007813)". Lineage: Eukaryota; Viridiplantae; Streptophyta; Magnoliopsida; Solanales; Solanaceae. The record is from RNAcentral.
AAACAUAUUCUCCUUCUUUCUUUCGAGUUGUUUGACCUAUUUUUAGUUCCAUCUAAGAACAAUGUACUCCAUCUGUCCCAUUUUAUGUGGCACUUUUCGGAUUUCGAGAUUCAAACAAGUCUAUCUUUGAUCGUAAAUUUUUUAAACAUUUUGAAUUAUCAAUUAUUGUGACUUGUAGUACUUUUUACGUAAUUUACAAGUAUAUAAAUUUCAUUUCAAAAAAAUUGCAGAUUUCAUGCGCAAAUUCUAGGUCAAACUUAAACUGUUUGACUCUCGAAAAACUAAAAGUGCCACAUAAAUUGGAACAAAGAGAGUAAGUAAUUGUUUUUACUUUAUAGUGACUCUUUGAUUUCAACUUUCAACUAGACAUGUUUAAGACCACAAUAUUAAAUAUUGAUAUGUUUGACUAUCAAAAGACUCAAAAAUCCUUUUUCACGCUCUAAACUCCGUAUCAAGUUAAAAUUAGACAAAUAAAUUAAAAUAGAGGAAUAUAAAUAUGUAUAUGUACCUAGAAUUAAAAAUAUGAGGGCCAUGUUGGAAGUAAAAAGGUACAAUAUCUUUAGCAGCUGCAAAGGGUCGAUUGUUUUCAUUUGGAGUAGUUAUCAUAGCAGUCAAUAAACCUCCUGUACUUGUUCCUCCAAUUACAUCAAAGUAAUCUGCAAGUCUUGCAUCUGCAUUAUUGUCCAUUUUCUGACUCGAAAAAAAAAGUAAGUCGUAUAAAUAAUAAUUCAGAAAUAACUCACUUAUUAAUCAGAUAUUACAUUUAUAUAUUAAAAAAAUUUAGUAGAUAAGUUGUAACAUAAGAAAACCAUGAUUUAUUUGAAUAAUAAUUAGCUUUAUCAUGACCCUAUCGAUAAUAGAAGUACUAUUACUAAUCAUUAUCACUAAUAAGCAUCGAAAAAAAUACAAUUCAAGCGUAAAAAAAGAAAAAAAACGAUAGUAAUGUCACACUUACAUACAUACACGAAAAAAUAUUUUUACGAUAUCUGAAGUUGUCCUUCAAGAAAAUCAAGAAUGAUACCCGGAAUGACUAUAAUAAUGUCACACUUACAUACAUAUAUUAAAAAAUAUUUUUACGAUACCUGAAGUUGUCCUUCAAGAAAUUCGAGAAUGAUACCCGGAAUGAUUCCCUUAAUUCCACCUCCAUCAAUACUAAGAACAGUCACCAUUUCUCCCAACGUAGCAAAUGUUGAACUAGUAGUUGCUAAUAUCAUAAAAAUUAAAACUAAAACAGAUUUAGUAGUUGCCAUUUUGCAAAUGUUCAAAGUGUUUUUAAAUUUUGUUGGUGCUUUGAGCAUAAUAACAAGCAUGGUAUAUAUAGGCACGUAAACAAGUUGAGAAAUUUUAUUUUGAGUUUGACAUAACCAAUAAAAGUUAGUGCUGUUUAUUACCUCACUCAGUUUGCACCGCAACUGUCAUUAGUGAUGUUUACCUUUCCUUUUUCUAUUCUUUAUUAGUAUUAUAUAAUAUAUAUGUGUGAUGAGACUUGAAAUUGUUUAGCACCGCAAAUGUCCUUGUUGAGGGGGAGGUAUACGAAGAUUAUCCGUUCAAACAAUUUAGGCUCUAAUAUCAGAUGUAAGAUUAAAUACAUUUUAAUACAUAAUAUCAAGAUCUUGAACACGAUAAUCUUACAUAGAGAUCGUUAGGGGCACAUACCUGAUGAGGAAGACAUCAUCACAGAGAAAAGCGGAAGCGUUAGUCGUAAAUUGGUUUCUACCUCCUUUCCCUAACUUUAUGUUACCACAACCGUCAGCGAUGGAAUUAUUGUAGAGAAUAUGUGGUAACCCUAAUGGGUGGAGGGAGGACCAAUUUAUAUAGGUUAUGACUUAAUCCGGUACGUCCAUCAAGUAACCAAUGUACGGACGAGAUCUAUUCCUUAUUAAAUAUUAUUUAUGGUAUUACUUGGGUUACAAGUAAACUUGGGCCAUAAGUAAGAAAUAAUUAAUAAUAAUUCUUACAUUUUUAUCUUAAGUUAUGAUGUCACAUACAUCCCCUCUAUGGACCCAAUGUCCUUGUUGAGAGGAGGUUUUCUUUUGUUGAGGUUGGGGUGUCACAUACACCCUCUAUGGACUCAACGUCCUUGUUGAGGUUUAUCUCACACUGCAUGAGAUUUUUCUAGACUCAGCACUAUGAUUUCCCCGCCUUAUCAGAAUUGCCUAAACUCAGUUGAAGUCAGAGCCAUAUUGAUAAAACUGGCACAUGAUCGACUCUGAUAUUAAGCAAAUUCUCUCCCUCGCACCUCACUCACUUUCCUUUUUCUAUUCUUUAUUAGUAUUAUAUAGAGCAACUUUCACAUAUAACAAACAAAAAAUACAUAUUUGUAUGCUAUAGCAAAGUUUGCAUAAUUGUGUUCCAUAGCAAACAUAUAUAUGUAUAAUUCGCUAUACAUAUACAAUUGAAAGCUAUGUCUAUUUCGCUAUACAUAUAUACAAAAGAAGCAAUUGUAUAAUUCGUUGGCUCCUCUUCAGAUUUGUAUAAUUUUGCUGGCAGGCCAUUUGUAUAAAUUGUUGUUAGCCUCUCGUUGGCAAGGGAAUAUUUUUUAUUGUAUAAUUAUAAGUGUAUAGGAUGAAUAUAUAUGUAUUUGCAUGUGUAUAUACAAUUUUCUCUCGCUUUAUACAAACAGAAACGCAAUUUAUACAAUUCUGUUGUAUAAAACGAGAAAGAGAGAAAGACAAAAGAGAUAUGGGUAGGGGAAUAUUUUUAUUGUAUAAUUAUAAGUGUAUAGGCCGAAUAUAUAUGUAUUUGCAUGUGUAUAUACAAUUUUCUCUCGCUUUAUACAAACAGAAACGCAAUUUAUACAAUUCUGUUGUAUAAGCGAGAGAGGCGAGCACAGAGGGAGCGAGCGAGAGAGAGUUUGAGGGAGAGAGGCAACUGACAAACAGUUUGCUACAGGACACAAUUAAAUCAAAGAAUGGUUAUACCAUUUAAUUUGAAUUAAUAGUUUGUCAUUAUGUACAAUUUUCCCUAUUAUAUAAUAGAUCCGUUCCAACCGUUCUUUAUUUUUGUGGCUGACCCCAUAUGUGUGAUGAGAUUUGAAAUUGUUUAGCUCACCACCUCUUUAUUUUUAGAAGAAUAAAUAAAAUCCUCAUUCCGAUAUGAAAAACGAUCUUUGAGCCUGAUUUGACAAAUUAAGUUAACGAAGAAAUUUGAACUUUGUGAUUUUAAAUUAAAGAUAUAUUAAAAUAUUUUUUAAUCUUAUGAUAUUAAACACGUCAGAAUUGAUAAGAAGAGAGAUUUUCUUUUUAAUGAACUAACAUGACAAAUAAAACAAACAAAGGAGUAAUGAUCACUACAACAAAUUAGAUUACGAGGGAUAAAUAAUUUCGUCAUCUAUAAAUCAUGUUUCGUCACUAAAAAAUUUUUGUGACGAAAAAAAUUUCGUCAAUCAAUCGUCACUAAACAUGUGUCACUCAAAAUAUACAAAGACGAUUUAGUGCUUCGUCGCUAAAACUAAUAUAUUAACUACAAAAAGAAAAAUCGUCCCCAAAUGCAUAAACAUUUGUGACGAAUUUAUUAUUUGUCAUAAAAAGUGUAACUUUAUUUGUAGUUAAUAGUAUGUUUUUGUCACGCCCCGAGCUACCCCCAAGACGCGGACACNNNNNNNNNNNNNNNNNNNNNNNNNNNNNNNNNNNNNNNNNNNNNNNNNNNNNNNNNNNNNNNNNNNNNNNNNNNNNNNNNNNNNNNNNNNNNNNNNNNNUUUUAUUUUUAAAUUAUAUUUCAAAAUUGGAAAUUUUUAAAAUUCAAAUAGAAAAAACAAUUUUCGUGGAAACCAACCAAUAUGCAAUUCAAAUUCAUUCUUAUCCAAAUUAUAAUUUACCUUUUAUUUUUAAGUUGUAUCUUAAAGUAGGAAAUUUCAAAAUUUAAAUUUAAAACAAUUUUCGUGGAAACUUUAAAAAGAAUUAAAAAUUAAAAACAUGUACCCAUGAAUUCAAUUCAAAAUAGUAAGGAAGUUUUGGUUAAUUUAAAAGAAUUUUAAAUUAGAAUUUUAAAAUAGUAAGGAAGUUUCAAUUCGGUUGAAUAGGUAGUUUUUAUUUUUUAAAUGUAUUUCAAAAAUAGAUAAUUGAGUUGCUUAAAAUUUAAAACUUAAAAUAAAUUGCUUAUUAGUUAAUCAAAUCCUAUUCUUUAGCAACGUGAAAAUGUGGAUAGAAUUUGCCGACAUGUUUUUUUUUUAUAGAAAAAGUCAUAUUUCUUUUUUAAACUUAUUUUUAAAUACUUAAAUUUCAAGAUUAAUUGUGGUGCUGACACAUAUGCUGUUUUUCUUCUCCUUUUAUAUAUAGAUAGAAGAUUGUUAUGAGAUUUUGAAUUAUGAUAGAUUUUCUAUUUAGUUAUUUUUUGAUUAUUUAAAAUUUAAUUUUAUUCUAUUAAUAUCAAAAUAAGAUAGUAUAGAUUGAUUUGGGUGGGGGUGGGGGAGGGUUUGGGCAAGGGCGUGUGUGGUUUCCCCUUUUUUUUUUCUUUCUCUUCUUCUUUUGUUCUUUUUAUUUUUUAACAAAAUUAAUAUAAUGAAAAAUUAUGUUUUGAUUCAAUAAGAACACAAAAUAAAAAUAAAUUAAAAUAAUAUUUCUUCCCAUACAAAUUUUACACAUGUUACAUUAGUAUAAACAUGUUAGGAAUUAUGGACACCUAAAAUCUUUUUUUUUUUUUAGUUAUUAAAAUCAAAAGAAAAACCUACUAAUUAAAAUUAAUAUCUUACAUAAUAAAUAUUUGUUAUUAAUUAUUCUCAUCAUUUCAGUUUGUUAAGCCAUAAAUACAUGUGUCAUCGUAAGGGAAUCAAAAUAUAAAAGCAAGAAUAAACGUAGACAAUAGUUUUACUUAAACAUGAAAUAAAUCAUGGGUUGUUUAAACCUGAAAUAAAAUAAGGUUUGUUAUAACAAUUUCGCACCAAGUCUAAUGAUAUAAAAUAUCUAAACAUAAAGUUGAUAUGAAAGAUUUGGAACAUUUUUCAUAUUAUAACAUCAACGAAUAUUAAUGGUUUAAACACAUAUAAAAUUUAACAAUUUCAAUAUAUUGUAACCAAUGCUUGUAUAAUCGUGAUAUUAAACUAUAUAAAAAGGAUUAAGUGUUACCUCUUGUGAAAAUUAAUUCACAAAGAAAAGACCACAACUGAAACCACAAACUAAAAACCACGAAUAAAAAUCCCGAACUUAACUUUUCUUUUAUCGCUGAACGAUUUUGUUUUUUUUGUUAGUAUUGUUGGAAGGAAAGAGUGUUUGGCAUGUGUUUUGGAAUUUGGGUGCGUGAGUUUCUGUAUGGUUUUUUGAUUGUUUUUAAUCUUUCUAUAAUUGUGUUUUGUGCAUGUGUCGUGUGUGUGUAGUGUGAGGGGGUAAUGGGAGAAGUGGGGUGAGAUGUGGGUGAGUGGGGUAGUGUAGGAUAGUAUUAGCUUCUUUUUAUAUAUAUGUUUUUUUAUUAAUAUAAUAUAAUAUACAAAAAAAACAUUUAGUAUCAGUGGGUCCCAUAUGUUCUAUUGUUGAUGAACAAUGUUUCUAUUGUUGGUGUCGGGUUAUGAUGGUUCUACUGUAGAGGCGGCUUCACUGUUUAUCUUUUUCUUUUAAUUUGUGGAGGAAAUCUUUCAUUUUUUUCAAAGUAUCUUCUGAUAUAGUCUGGACGAUCCCUGGGAUGAUCUUCCCCUUGUAUUUUUACUUUUACCUCUGCCCUUGAUAAUCCAAGGAGGGUCCAUCCUGCACACAUAACAUUUUACUUUAUUCGGAUAUAUCGUAAUAAUCACUGUAAUAAUUAUCACUAUCGAUAUCCUUGGGGGUAUCCUAUUCAUAAUCAUAUAUAGAGAAAUCUUCUCUAAUAAAAUCAUUAAUAAUUUUACUUAUUAUAAAUUCAUGCAAGUGUCCACUGUGGCAUAUGAUCCUGUAUAUUUUAAUACUCAGCCUAAUUUGCCAUUAUCUUUAACUGAUGUUAAUAUUCUUGAUGCUUUAACAUUAAAUGUUAAAACACAUGGUUAUAAUUAUGCGCCUGGAUCUGAAUUAAUAUGUUUAUCAUAUAGAAUUAAUUUUAAAUUGCUAUCUACGUGACAGGCCCCUUGCUCGGAUAAAAGGAUAGAUCCUUCCAUACAAUCAUAAAACUAUAUACAUUUGUAUAUAUUUCUAUUUGGAUUUAUAAUAUAAUAUAAUAUAAUGAUAAGAAUAUUAUUUAAAUAUUUUUAAACUAACAAGAAUUAAGUAUCUAAUAAUAAAUUAUAAUUAAGAAAUGCUAGUUUAUUUAUUAAAACUUAAAUAAAAAGAAACAUUUUUUUAUAAAUUUCUUUUCUUUAAAAUUAAUCUACAUUAAAGUGUGACUCUAUUUUUUUGUCAUUUUCAAAUAUUUUUAAAUAAGUUUACUAAAGUAAGAUACAUCCAUACAUAUUUAAUUUAAAUUUUUAAAAAUAUUCAAGUACUUAAAAUGAUAUAAAACUUUAAAUUCGGUCAAAAUUUACAUGUCUACAUCUUUGACAAAAGAUAAAUGUAAUAUUAGUUAUAAAUACCUAUAAAAAUAAAUCAAUAAUCUAUAAUAAUAAUAAUAAUAAUAAUAAAAAACAAAAUCAAUCAAGAAAUUAUAUAUACCUUGACGAUUUGGUAAAACCUCUUCAUAUAUUUUGAUUUUACAUCGUACUUGUUUAUUUUUCAAAUAUUUAUUUCGCAUUUAUGAAAUUAUUUGUAUACAUCAUCUCUUUAAAAUUGUAGAUUCGUUAUUUACAUAUGAAACAAAAAUUAAAUAUAAAAUCAAUUGUGAAUAACUAAUAACAAUAACAAAACAAUAAUAACAAAUAAUAAUGAUAAUAAAAAUAAUAAAAGUUAUAAUAAGAAAUAGUCAUAACAAAUAAUUAUAACAACUAAUAAUAACAAAAAAAAAAUAAAAAAAAUAAUAACAAACAAUAAUAACAAACAAUAACAGUAAUAAUGUCAAUACUAACAAUAAUGAUGAUGAUGAUAAUAAUAAUGAUGAUGAUAAUAUAAUACAAUAACAAAUAAUACUAACAAAUAAUAAUAACAACAACAACAACAACAACAACAAUAAAUAUAAAUAAUAAAAACAACAACAACAAAUAGUCGAACCAAAUAAUAACAACAACAAUAACAGUUGUAGUAAUAAUAAUAAUAAUAAUGGUAAUAAUAAUUAAAAAAAAAACCUAGAAAUAGCUGAACCAAAUAAUAAUAAAAUAUAAAAAACUAAAAUUAGUUGAACCAAAUCAAUAUCAAAUGGCAUUAUAUUUAUCACGAAUUGAAAAAGUAAAACAUCAAGAUUUUCAAAGUUCUUAAUAUGCUUGGUAGAACCUUGCUAAAGCUUUUGUUUUGUUUCAAAACAUUUGAUUUUAUAAGAAGACGUCUAAAAUAAUUUAUUAAGAGCAAUUUAUUUUCUACUGUUAAAAAUAAAACAAUGUAUAUUUGAAAAGAUAGGAUUUCAAUAUCAUAUUAUUCAGUUCAAUUAUGAAAUUAAAAAAUUAUUUAGUACAAUUAUAAAUUUAUAUAAAAUUAAAUUUUCGAUUUUACUAUAAGAAAUCUAAUACUUGGUUUGAUUCGAUGAGUUAAUCAAUGUUUUUUAAAAACAUUGACACUCACAACUAUCGUACUUUAUCAUAAUAUAUUCAAAAUCUUAGUUGGUUAAUUUCUUUCAUUUGUGCUUUCAUUUUUUUAGUUUAUUUCAAUUUUCACACGGAUGAAUAAGGUGAAUAGAAUCCAUGAAAUAUUUCACAUCUUUGCAAAGUCUAAGUCGAUAGUAUCUCUAUAUAAUUGCUCUACGUACGUGGAAUCACUACUAAUUAUGUAUGUAUUUUUAGACAGAAGCAAAUCAAUCGACUUAGUCUAUAUUGUUUACCCACCACAAAAUCGAUAGGCACGCACAAAAAUAAGCGUCAAGGUUUGAGAAAUUAUUUCUUCUAUACUCUUUAUCGAUGAAAGCGUAUAAAAUAAAAAAUGAAAUGUCUUAAGCCAACAAAUAUUUAUGAUGUAGUGGUAGAAUACUACCCACUCACGGUACUUAUAAUCUAGAUUGUGUUUUUCAAAUGAUGCAUUUUAUAAUUGCGUAAUUUAGGAAAAUUGAUGAAUUGAAUAUUUUUAUUUUUACAAAAUCCGAUAAUUGUAUUGUUAAGGGACUAUUUUAGACCUACUUCAAUAGUUCAGGGACCAUUUAUGAAGUUCUCUAAUUAUGAACAAUCAUAGCCAAAGAAAAUUUUGUAUAUAGCUAUGAAUUUUUUCGUACCAAAUAGUUGAAUUAUUCAACUACAAAUUCUAAGUUGUCGCUAUUUAACACUUACAUAUUUUCUGACAUUUUUUUGUUGUCACUAAAUAAUAGGUUGAUUAGAGACAAUAAAAUUAUUGUCACCAAUUGUUCAUAUUAUUAGUGACGAAAAUAAAUGUCACAAUUAAAUCUAAAUUUUUAUAGCUAAAACUUAUAAUAUUUAACUACAAACUCUUAUUUGUCGCUAUUGUAACAACACAUUUUUCGAGAUGAAAUUAUUUUGUGUCCAAAAAUAAAUUAAUUUUAAGACAAAAAUAAUUUGUUACGAAUUAGAUUACAUCAUUUGUGACGAAAUAAUGUGUCACUGGUAACUUUAAAUUCGUGACUGACAGUACUCAAUAAAUGGCAUCAAUUUAUUUUUUGGUGGGAAAUUUUAGUGGACAAAACUUUGCCACAAACUUUUAUGUUUCGUCACUAAAAGUAUAUGUCUCAUAUAUUUAAGCACGAAAAAUAAUUUUUGUCGCUAAAAGUAAAUAAUUAGUGAUGAAUUUUAUGUCGUAGCUAAUAAUUUCGUAGCUAUAUAUCAUAUUUGUUAUAGUGAAUGAUAACAAGAAAAGUGGCAAUGACCCAGAUAUAUAUAUGGAUCGAUUAUCAUAUGACAAUGAAUUAUGGACAGAGAUAUGGAGAAAUUGGAAAUAAAGUCAAAAUCGUCGUUGGCCAAGGACUUAGAAACCUUGUAAAUUGUAAUUUGACCCUUCCACACCUAACACUAUUAUUUCCACAUAUAUAUUUGGUGCCCCAUGGAGUUACUCCCAUCUCCACGUUUUGGGUACGUCUCCAUCUCACUAGAGUGUGAUUUCGGCUUCUUGUGCAUGCACUAAAGGUUGUUUGAUAGUUGAAUUAGAAGUGAGUUAUACAUGUAUUAUAUUCUGCAUAAAUAAUAACACGUUUGAUAAUUGGUUAGGAGUUUAGUUUUUCAUAAUAAAACUAAUAAAAUAAAUAAUUGAUCCCUACCUAAAAUAAUACACAAGUUCUCUCAUUACUAAUACUUGCAUGCUCUAACCUGCAAAGUGUGGUAGGACACACCCAGGUAAGUGUCACGAUGGCUCCACAGGUUGUUUCAAGUGUGGACAAGAGGGUCACUUCAUGAAAGAGUGCCCUAAGAACCGGCAAGGUAAUGGGAAUCAGGGCAAUAGGGCCCAAUUUUCAUCAGUUGCUCCACCAGACAGGGCUGCACCUAGAGGAGCUACUUCCGGUACUAGCGAAGGAGCAAACAACCUUUAUGUGAUUACUAGUCGUCAAGAGCAAGAGAAUUUUCCAGAUGUUUUCACUGGUAUGAUCAAAGUCUUUACUCUUGAUGUUUAUGCUUUGCUAGACCCAGGAGCAAGUUUAUCUUUUGUGACUCCUUAUGUUGCAAUGAAUUUUGAUGUCCUUCCUGAGAAACAUUAUGAACCCUUUUGUGUUUCUACAUCGGUUGGGGAGUCCAUUCUAGCUGAGCGAGAAUAUCGUGAUUGUGUCAUUUUCAUCAAUCACAAGAACACCAUGACUGAUUUAGUUGAGUUAGACAUGAUAGAUUUUGAUGUCAUUCAAGAUAUGGAUUGACUUCAUGCCUGUUAUGCCUCCAUUGAUUGUAGAACUCGAGUUGUUAGGUUUCAAAUUCCUAAUGAGCCAGUUAUAGAGUGGAGUAGCAGUUCAACAAUGCCUAAGGGUCGUUUCGUACCUUAAGGCGAGAAAGUUAGUUUUCAAGGGGUGUGUCUAUCACUUAGUCCGAGUUAAUGAUUUUAGUGUUGAGACACCUCCUAUUGAGUUAGUUUCAGUUGUGAAUGAGUUUCCAGAAAUAUUUCUAGAUGAUCUACUCGGAGUCCCUCCUGAGAGAGAAAUAGACUUCAGUAUAGAUAUUCUUCCCGAUACUCGUCCUAUAUCUAUUCUGCCAUAUAGAAUAGCACCAACAGAGUUGAAAGAGCUAACAAAGUUGUUGAAAGAUCUCCUAGAUAAAUAUUUCAUUCGACCAAGUGUCUCACCAUGGGGCGCUCCGGUCUUAUUUGUGAGGAAGAAGGAUGGUUCCCUUAGAAUAUGUAUAGAUUAUCACCAGUUGAACAAGGUUACCAUCAAGAAUAAGUAUCCUCUUCCCAGAAUUGAUGAUCUUUUUGAUCAGCUUUAGGGUGCCACCUGUUUCUUUAAGAUAGACCUCAGAUCAGGCUACCAUCAGUUGAGGGUAAGGGAAUGCGACAUUCCAAAGACGGCAUUCAGGACCCGUUAUGAUCAUUAUGAGUUUCUAGUUAUGUCAUUUGGUUUGACCAAUGCGCCUGCAACAUUCAUGGACCUUAAGAAUAGAGUAUUCAAGUCUUAGUUAGAUAUGUUUGAUAUCGUGUUCAUUGAUGGCAUUCUAAUCUAUUCAAGGAAUGAGGAAGAUCAUGCUAGCCAUCUCAGAAUAGUUCUCCAAACUCUAAAGGAUAAGGAGUUAUAUGCUAAGUUCUCUAAAUGUGAGUUUUGGCUUAAGUCUGUGGCAUUCUUAGGCCAUAUUAUUUCUGGUGAUGGGAUUAGAGUUGAUGUCAAAGCUUGAGAUGACAACUUCUGUCAAAGCUUGAUGCAAACGAGUUUCCCCAAUUUUUUCUUGAAGAACUUGCAUAAGAUAUUUUCCAUCAUAUAUUGGGCCUGAAUUUUGGCCACUGCAUAAUAUAAUGUAACCAAAUUAAAUAUAAGUAUAUAGAACAGAAGUAUCAUAUAUUUGGGCUAGGUACAUCCUAUCUCAGAAGUUUAUUCAAUUAUGUACAAAAACACUGAAUAUUUCAUUGCUCUCAGAUAUAUCCUUUGGCUAUCUGAUACAUUGCAAAUGAUACAUUACUUAAUGAGAGAGAUGUAUCUGAGAGGGGAUAGAUAUGUAUCUGAGAAGAGAUUUUGGUAAUUUAUUUUUAAUGGUAGGAAACUUUAGAGAUUAUAAUAGGGCAAAAAACUUAAAUAUGCAAUUUAAGUACCUUAAUUACUACUAUAUAGCAAUAAUUUUUUUCCCGCCUAUAUAGCAAUAGUUUUUUUUCAAAACUAGAAUUUAGUAUUAAAAAAAAAGAAGCGUAGAAUUAGUCAGCCACGAUUUUCUUAGAAUCCCUGAUUUUCUCCAAUUUUUUUACCUUCCACGAUUUACUCAGAUUUGUUAUAUAUUCCCUCCCAUAAAAAAAAGUUUUUUUAACAAAAAUAAAAGUCUUUUUCUACUCCCUUCUGAUCGACAGUUCAAACAUACCAACAAUUUUUCAAUUCUAAUUCAACACAAUGGACGAUGGGACACAUAAGAUAUUUGUAAUAAAUCACAUUGAAUUAGUGUUUUUUUACGUGAUUAUUUUAUUUAAUAUAUUUGAAUUUUUUUUCAUGAUCGUUAUCUUAUAAUCUACUAUGUUGGGUAUAUGUUUUUUUGUUAAAUCUGAAUUAAGGUCGUUUAUCAAUCACUUUUAUAUAUUGAAUUUGGGUAUAUUGAGUGGUGUGUUAUUUUUUGGUAUUUAUUCGUUGCUUUAAUUUGUAGGGUUUUGUUGUUUAGUAUAAAAUUCAUAUUGAGUGAUUCUGCUUUGGGUAAUGGUUUGGUGAAACGAUGAUUUUGUGGUUUAGUAUAAAAUAAAUUUUAUUAAUAUUUUUAGUAGAUUAUUAGGUGUAAUUGAUAGUGUACAUGGUGUGAUGAUUUGGUGUAAUUGUUAUUAUGUAUUAUGUUUUUAUAAACACCAUAAGUCAUAAUUUUUUUGGUGCGAGUGUUAUCUAUUAGGUCACAUAGAAAAAUAAGCUUUGAUGAUAAAUAUUGGGUAAAUAAUUUGGUGUUAAUGAUGGUAUACAGUUAAGUACAUAAAAUAUAAGCAAUGAUCCUGAGAAAAUGAAUUCUAUAAACAGAUUGUUUAUGUAUAGUAUUUAAGAAGGCAAACUUGAAAAAAAAAACACCAAACAUGUAUCUACUAGGCUUUAUGUGACAUGCUAUCAUAUCAACACAUAGAUUGUAGUUUUGAAAUCAAUACAUUUGUGUCUUAUAGAAAGUAAAUCAUACCUCAUUUGAGCGGUUAGACUUCCACAUACUAAUUAUCUAAACAUUGAAAAACGUGUAAUACCCAAACAAAUGAUCUAUGAGGCACAUGACAUAUAAAUAGGUGAUUUACAACAUCUACACUAUAUAAGCAAUUAAUCUUUAUUAGUGGGAGUACAUUCUUUCACGCAUAUGUAUGUAACAUGUGAUCUGGUAAGUAGUAUCCUAUGAAGCAUGAACUUUAAGUCUACAAAAUAUAAGCUUCUUUAGAGAACUCACGACAUGUAAGAAAUUAAUCUGCUAUAGUGUGUUUCUCAUGGAUAACCUAUUUAUAGUAUAACAUCAUAAAAUAAAUAAUCUACAAAAUAGGAAAAAUGGAAUAUAACUAGAAGCUUAUGAACCAAGCAACAAGUAAAAGUUAACAUGUAUGACAUGUAACACACAUAAUCCUAUAAACAAGUAAACCAUAAAAGAUUCACAUAUGAACUCAUAACCUAAUUCACUAAAUAGUUAAUUGGAACAUAUACAUAAUUCCUUUAGACCUUUAGAAGAGUCGUACCCUAACUAAAAACUUCAGUUUACACGUACAUAUAAUUCAACUCAUUCAGAUAACAUCCUUAUUUAUCUCAAAACUAACCACUUGAUUCCCUAUGACAAUUAACUAAUGAUAUACCCUCUGUUAAUCUGAUUAUUUAACUUAUAUCUAUCUAAAUGUCUCAUAGCCUCCUGAUUAUAAGUGUGGUGCACAACACACUCAUAAGCAAGACUCUACCUGACACGAUUGACAUCAUAGUAAACAACUAUGCAUGAUAUGCUCGUGUAAUCAUAUGUUGUGAAUACAUAUAUAGAUGCAAAUGCAUGACAUACCCAACCAAUUGCUAGCAAUGAUGGUGCUUUCCGGUAGCUAACCGGCAUCAUAUUCGCCAAUUUGUGGCCAUCGUGUCUCAUAUGUAUAAAUAUAGACAAUAGGCGUCAUACCUCUCGAUUAUAGCUCGGGAGUAGAAUGCAUAGCAUGUCAUGUCAUGGAUUUAUAAUGCAUAUAUCUCUUACCGUUGUCAUGUUGCCAAUCUUGGCCCACUGGUACUCUUGUUCUCAUAAUCCCAUAAUCAAUUUCGUAUAAGAUAUUAACGACUCAUAGAACCUCAUAGGCUUUUACAAUAACCUUGAAUACUUAACUUGACUUUAGAAAGAUAACUUAAACCUGAGAAUAUUCAAAAAGAGUUUAAGGUGCUUAAAGAGUUUCAUUGUAACUUCAGUCAACUUUUGUACGACCAUUUAGGUCUAUAGACUCAUAAUAGACUCGAAGCUCUUGACUAGACUUCAACUUAGCAAAUUAAUCAUUUAGAAAUUCAAAAGGAGUCUGACAUGCCUGACCUUAUUUACUAUAGAAGGCUCCAAUUUGGUAAUGGAAUGAGCUUGCUUAGAAACAAGAUUGUUUGACAACUUAAUAUGUGAUGACCCGGAAGGUCAUUUUUGAAAAUUUUGAACUAUUCAUUUAACUUGAGUUAAUUAAUAUAUAGUUAGUGGGCUAAAGUGAUCAUUUAUUUAAGACCCUAUACCAUUAGGGCUAUGUGUUAAAAAUAGGUUAGUGGGAGUUAUUACGAGUGGGUAUUGAAUGCAUUGGAUCUUCUACAAUAUUGUUGGUUUUCAAAUUGAUGGGCAAAUAUUUAUGGGUUACUGUUGACAAAUUUUAGUGGAAGUAACCAAUAGUUAUUAUUAUUAUAUUAGUAUAAUGGUUGUAUUAGAUUGAAGGGGGCAGUGGUGAAUUCUUGGCGGUUUAGAAAUUUAGGGUACAAGAAACGGUGCUAAUAUUAUUGUUAUUAUUAUUAUAUUUCUUUUUGUUUGUUGUCAAUUUAUGGGGAUGAAGGGAGUUGAAUUGUUAGGACUAUAUAUAUAUAUAUAAUUAUUUUCCAUACAUGCUAUCUCCAGUUUCAAGUAGUAAGUUGAAUGCUCACUAAAGGAGUUAGAUUAUUACUCUAUAUAUGUUAAGGCCUAAUUGAUUUCUUGGGGAAAGAAUAAUGUCAUUGUUGUACACUUGGUGGGUUUUGAAAAUUGUGAGGAUAAAGUUAUGAUUACAUAUUAUAAAUUUAGGAACCUGCAGGCGACAUAUUAAUGUCUUGAUUUUAUCGAUUCCCACCACUGGUUUCAUAACCAGUGGUUUCGAAAAUUAGUAAUUCUUAUGUUAUUAUCACAUUGUAUUUUAAUUUUGAUAUAUUAAAAUAGGUAAUUAAAUAUUAGGUAUAUCGUAUUUUUGUGAAUGUCAUUAGAUUUACGAUAAUUGAAGGAAUUGGAAGAAUUGACAAGUUAAUGGGCAUCAAGACUUGGGAACUUAAUUAUAAAUUUGGGGUAAGCUUAGUGUUGUUAGUUUCGGAAUCUUAUUGUGACUAUAUACUUGAAUAGAUUGCAUUGAUUUGGAAGCUCAACGAAAAGGGAAGGCUCAAGUCUCGGAGUGAUUGUUCGGUUAUUUGAGGCAAGUGGAUUUCUAAACCCUUGUUAAGCGUAUGGAAUUNNNNNNNNNNNAUGAUUGUGUUGUUGUGAUUUGUGCAAUGUUAUGAAAAUGGUCAUCUCCUCAUUAUUUGUGUGAACAUGUCAUUUGCACUGUUCUGAGACAUAGUUGUGAUAAGUGUUGUGUGCAUUGAGAAAUAAUAAGAAACUAAAGAGUAUGUACCAUUUCGAGGGACGUAUCGCGCGCCGCGAUGGAUACUAUAUUUCGAGGGACGUGUCACGUGUCGCGUGCCGCGACGGAUAUUAUAUUUCGAGGGACGUAUCGUGCGCCGCGAUGGAUGCAUGGACAGAUAUGUCCCCCAUGGGUCCCGGACUGAGAGACAGCGGGUGUGUAUUAUUAGGUCAGAUAUGCGUCAGUAUACUUGACAUUGCAUUUCAUUGCAUUGCACAUUUUUAUAUUGAUCAACUUGAUCUUGUGCGUUGCUGAUCUUGUGAGUGCCUUUCUGUGAACUUGUUAUUGAUGAAUAUUGAGUUGUUAUUGAGAAUAUAUAAUCUGUUAGAGUGUUGUUGUUGAGCUUUAUGCUUUGUAAACUGUGAAUUGUUAGGUUGGGUCUGGUUUUAUGCAGGUUGUAGUUAUGGAGGUUAGGAUGGGGUGGUAAGGAGUACCCGUAUUCUGUUCCCUUAGCUUGUGUUUAGAGGUUUGCUUGUUGAGUACCGUGUGGUUUGGUACUCACCCCUUGCUUCUACAAUCUUUUGUAGGUUACGAGCCCGGAUCUUCGUGAUACCUUCCAUUCUCUUCGUUUCCGAGGUUUUUUGUGGAGAUCUGAGAGGUAGUUGUUUGUCAUCUCAGCGAACCUUCUUACUCCUGUUUAUGAUUUUGUUUUUACUUGAAAGACAACGUCAUUUGAGACUUGCGUAUUUUUAUUUCAAUUCUAGUAUUUACAUUAGAGGCUUGUGCCCGUGACAACCAGGUUUUGGGGAUUGAAUUAAGUUGACUUGUUUUCGUAAUAGUAAUUGUUAUUGAACUUUGCUUUAUUUCCGCACUUUAUCAAAAUGAUUAGGUUUUAGUCUGACUUGUCUUGGUGGGAUACGACGAGUGCCAUCACAUCCAUUUUUGGGUCGUGAGAAAAUGGUAUCAAAGCCCCAGGUUCAUAGGUCUCACGUGCAUACAAGCCGAGUCUACAUAGAGUCUCAAGGAUCGGUAUGGAGACGUCUGUACUUAUCUUUGAGAGGCUAUAAAGACUAUUAGGAAACUUCCUUUUUGUUCAUUCUUUCUCAUCGUGCGUGGUUACCUUCUUUAGUACUGAGCUAUUGUAUACUCUUUUGACAAAUGACGAGGACUAGAGCGAGUAACUGUUACUGGUGGUAGAGGGGAGGCACUUCUCGAGGUAGUUGUUGAGGCCCCAGCUAGGGGUAGAGCCCGAGCUAGAGGUCGUGCUCGUGAACGACACUAGCCAGAGGUCGUGGCCGUGGAGCAGCACCAGUGAGAGGUCGUACUAGAGAGGCCUCUCCUGAGCCUCAGAUUGAUGACAGAGAGGACCAGGUUCCUCCAGAGCCUGCAGUCACACCUUUGCUUCAGGAUACAUUAUUAAGGGUGUUUAGUGUCCUUGAGAGCUUUACUUAGGGUGGUGGUGCGACCGCCACACCACAAGACUCUCAGACUAGAGAGGGGGCUCAGACCCAAGAGCAGCAAGAAGCUCCAGUUAUGCAGGAUGCGGUGGGGCAGCCACCAAAGGAUCCCAUGGUUGAGAAUGAUCUUGCACCAGCAAUUGGGGGUCAGGGUGCACCAUUGGUUGUUCUGACAGAGGAUGAGCAGCGUAGGUAUGAGAAAUUUUGAAAGAUGGACCCACAUCAGUUUCAGGGUGGGAAGAGUGAGGACGCUCAUGAGUUUCUGACUACAUGCCGAGAGUUGUUAGAGGUUGUUGGAUUAGCUGAGUCACAUGGGGUUCGAUAUGUUACACUCCAACUUCGUGGGCCAGCGAGAGAGUGGUGAAGAACUUAUUCGGGGGCUUUGCCAGUUAGAUCUCCUCCAGUGACUUGGGAGAGGUUUUCCAGUGCCUUUCAUGAUCGUUUUAUCCCUUGGAGCGUGAGAGAGGAGANNNNNNNNNNNNNNNNNNNNNNNNNNNNNNNNNNNNNNNNNNNNNNNNNNNNNNNNNNNNNNNNNNNNNNNNNNNNNNNNNNNNNNNNNNNNNNNNNNNNNNNNNNNNNNNNNNNNNNNNNNNNNNNNNNNNNNNNNNNNNNNNNNNNNNNNNNNNNNNNNNNNNNNNNNNNNNNNNNNNNNNNNNNNNNNNNNNNNNNNNNNNNNNNNNNNNNNNNNNNNNNNNNNNNNNNNNNNNNNNNNNNNNNNNNNNNNNNNNNNNNNNNNNNNNNNNNNNNNNNNNNNNNNNNNNNNNNNNNNNNNNNNNNNNNNNNNNNNNNNNNNNNNNNNNNNNNNNNNNNNNNNNNNNNNNNNNNNNNNNNNNNNNNNNNNNNNNNNNNNNNNNNNNNNNNNNNNNNNNNNNNNNNNNNNNNNNNNNNNNNNNNNNNNNNNNNNNNNNNNNNNNNNNNNNNNNNNNNNNNNNNNNNNNNNNNNNNNNNNNNNNNNNNNNNNNNNNNNNNNNNNNNNNNNNNNNNNNNNNNNNNNNNNNNNNNNNNNNNNNNNNNNNNNNNNNNNNNNNNNNNNNNNNNNNNNNNNNNNNNNNNNNNNNNNNNNNNNNNNNNNNNNCUUCGUGGGCCAGCGAGAGAGUGGUGGAGAACUUAUUCGGGGGCUUUGCCAGUUGGAUCUCCUCCAGUGACUUGGGAGAGGUUUUCCAGUGCCUUCCAUGACCGUUUUAUCCCUUGGAGAGUGAGAGAGGAGAGUCGUUUGAGGUUUGAAAAUUUGAGACAGGACAACUUAUCAGUUACAGAGUAUGAGGCCCGUUUUUGCCAGUUGUCUAGGCAUGCUUUGGCCAUUAUUCCAGACGAGACGGAAAUGAUCUGUAGAUUCGUGAGGGGGAUGACUUUCUCCAUUAGAUCGGCUGUGUUUAGAGCAUCUAAAGAGGGGGCUUCCUUCUAGUCCAUUGUGAGCGCCGCUAAAGAGGCAGAAUUGAUGGAGAGAGAAGAGUUUGGGGGACCCUAAGAGGGUCCGUACUGCAGGUCAGUUUCAUGGUGCCUCAUCUGGAGGCAGGGGAUCACACAAAAGGGAGUUGUUCCUUUUAACAGUGAGGACCCGUUCAUGCAUCUAUGCCAACAUCCGAGGGUGGUCAGAUACCUUAGGGUUUUUAUAGCGUGGGUCACGGUUCACAACAGCGACCUAUGGGGCGAGGCAAUUAUAGUGGGUUUUAAGGGUCCGCACAACAGUUCCCGAGACAGAUUUUUGCUUUUCUUGUGGAGAUCCCGAUCACCUGAUGUGACAGUGUACUUCCCAGAGGGGUCGUGGAGGGUCCCAACCUAAUUCUUCAUUUCAGGCUAGACCACCGGUACCACAGGGUAGAUGCCGAGGCAGAGUUCAGUCAGGUAGAGGCGGUAAAGCUUCUAGUAGUGGUUCUGCAGCUCAGCAGAGUGGGGGUAGAGUUACCACCCAGGCUGGAGGUGGCCGAGGGGGCCACUAUUAUGCUUUCUCGGGGAGAUCCGAAGUGGAGAUUUCUGAUGUUGUUAUUACAGGUAUCAUCCCAGUAUACCAUCGAUCUGCUUCUGUAUUGUUUGAUCCAGGGUCUACAUUCUCUUAUGUGUCCACCUAUUUUGCUGCUGAAUUUGAUAUGAUAUGUGAUAGCAUGACUGUACCUAUUCGUGUUUCUACACCCGUGGGUGAGCCCUUAGUGGUGGAUCGAGUGUGCGAUCUUGUCUUGUUUCUCUAGUGGGGUAUGACACUUGGGUAGAUUUAAUCAUUCUGGGGAUGGUAGACUUUGAUGUUAUCUUGGGUAUGAAUUGACUUUCUUCUUAUCAUGCUGUCCUUGAUUGUAAUGCUAAGAUUGUGACUUUAGCAAUGCCUGGUGUUCCGAGGGUUGAGUGGAAGGGUGCUAAUGGCUCUUAUCCUAGUAAGGUCAUUUCCUUUAUCCGUGCUCAGAGAUUGGUGGAGAGAGGGUGUUUGUCUUACUUAGCUUUUUUUCGAGACACUAGUGUUGAACCACAUUCCAUGGAUUCUGUUCCCGUGGUUCAGGAGUUUCUCGAUGUAUUCCCUUCUGAUCUUCCAGGUGUUCCUCAAUAGGGAUAUUGAUUUUACUAUUGAUUUGGAGCCGGGCACUAAGCCCAUUUCUAUUCCUCCCUACCAUAUGGCUCCAGCAGAGUUGAAAAAGUUGAAAGAUCAGUUGCAGGAUUUAUUGAGUAAGGGGUUUAUUCGCCCUAGUGUGUCACUUUGGGGUGCCCAUGUGUUAUUUGUGAAGAAGAAGGAUGGGACUAUGAGGAUGUGUAUUGAUUACAGACAGUUAAACAAGGUAACAGUGAAAAAUAAGUAUCCUCUUCCGCGUAUUGAUGACUUAUUUGAUCAGCUACAGGGGGCAUCUUUGUUCUCUAAGAUUGAUUUGAGGUCUGGGUAUCAUCAAUUGAAGAUUAGGGCAUCAGAUAUCCCUAAGACAACUUUUCGGACUCGGUAUGGGAUUUAUGAGUUCUUAGUGAUGUCCUUUGGGUUGACUAAUGCCCCUGCAGCUUUUAUGGAGUUGAUGAACGGGGUGUUUCGACCAUACAUUGAUUCUUUUGUGAUUGUCUUCAUCGAUGACAUUUUGGUUUACUCCAGGACUGAGGAUGACCAUGUCCGACACUUGAGAAUUGUACUUCAGAGAUUGAGGGAAGAGAUGUUGUAUGCCAACUUCUCAAAGUGUGAGUUCUGGCUUAAUUCUGUGGCAUUCUUGGGACACGUGGUGUCCAAGGAGGGUAUUAGACUAGAUCUGGCCAAGAUUGAGGCAGUUAGAGGCUGGACGUGCCCUACUUCUCCUACCGAGAUUAGGAGUUUUGUGGGAUUGACAGGUUAUUAUCGACGAUUUGUUCAGAGUUUCUCUACUAUUGCAGCUCCAUUGACUAGAUUGACUCGACAUGGUGUGGGUUUUCAGUGGUCUGAUGAGUGUGAGGAGAGUUUUCAAAAGCUCAAGACUUUGCUGACUUCGGCUCCUGUGUUGACUCUACUUGAGAAGGGCGUAGACUUUACUGUGUAUUGUGAUGCUUCAAGAGUCGGUUUGGGUGGUGUAUUGAUGCAGAAGGGGAAGGUGAUUGCUUAUGCUUCUAGGCAGUUGAAGACCCAUGAGAAGAACUACCCUACUAAUGAUUUAGAGUUGGCAGCUGUGGUAUUUGUACUUAAGUUAUGGCGUCAUUAUUUGUAUGGGGUGCAUUACGAGAUCUUCACGGAUCAUCGGAGUCUUCAGUAUAUCUUCAGCCAGAGGGAUCUGAACUUAAGGCAGCGUAGAUGACUUGAGUUACUGAAGGACUAUGAUGUGACCAUUCUAUAUCAUCCGGGGAAGGCCAAUGUUGUUGCCGAUGCUCUGAGUAAGAAGACUCCUUGAUAAGGGUUCCAAUUGGGGAUGAAACCAAUUGAAAUAAAAUGCGGAAUGAAACAACACAAAAGUAAGAUAGAUGAGAAAUAAGAGAUGAGAAGAGAAGAAAGAAAGGCAAUUGAAUAAACAAUCAACCAAGGAAGAAGAGAAACUUGAAUUCGAAAAGAAACAACUCAAAUUGAAAACCACAAAUGAGCAAUCUCAAGUGAAAUCAAGGUUAAAGAAGUCCUAAAUCAACAAUGAGAAUCCACCCAUCAUUAAUCUAGAUUAAGCUACACUAAGCUAGGCUAUCCUAAAGGGAUUACACCCUUAAACUAUACUCUUUAAAGAGUUUGUUCAUUUCACAUUGCAAAUCCAUAUAGUCUAAGUCUUCCAAAAUAAAAGAGACUACUAUUUAUACUAACAAAAUAAAAGACACUUAUUUGACAAUUUACCCUUAAUGAGGUAAGGGUCUUGUUUGGUUGACUUCUUUUGUGAAUUCUUGAAAACAAAAUAAAGAAGACACUUCUUUUACAAUUUUACCCUUAAUGAGGUAAGGGGCCUUGUUUGGUUGUCUUCUUUUGUGAAUUCUUGAAAUUAUGAGAUGACCAAUGCACAUAUGGCCUCUUUCUUCUUUCUCUUCACUUAGAUGGACCUUCCACACAUUGUACUUCUUGAUUUUGUGUCCAUCAAGCUCCUCUAAUGCUUUUUACGCGAUGCAUGCUAUCCAUGUUGUUAUCACUCCUAGCAUGGGAAGUCUUGCAGCACUUAGUAAUGAGGAGAGACCAUUGGCUAGAGAUGUUCAGAUGUUAGCUAAUAGUCUUGUCCGGUUGCAGAUCUCAGAGGAGAGUGAUGGGAUGAUUGCUUUUAUUGAGGCUCGGUCUUCUUUAGUUGAGCAAAUCUGUGCGCACCAGUUUGAUGAUGAGAAGUUAUGUCUCAUUCGAGACAGAGUAUUGAGAGGGGAAGCCAAGGAGGCUGUCCUUGAUUCUGACGGUGUCUUGAGGAUCGGAGGUAGGAUUUGUGUGCCCAAGACGGGCGAGUUGACUAGACUGAUUCUUGAAGAGGCCCAUUGUUCCCGAUAUUCUAUCCAUCCGGGAGCAGCGAAGAUGUAUCAUGAUCUGAGUCAGUAUUACUGGUGGUGUGAGAUGAAUAGAGAUAUUUCAGACUUUGUUUCUAGGUGUUUGACUUGCCAACAGGUCAAGUGUGAGCACCAGCGUCCCGGGGGUGUAUCUCAGAGGAUGCCUAUUCCUACUUGGAAGUGGGAGCGGAUCAAUAUGGACUUUGUUGUGGGUUUGCCUACCACAGUGGGUGGUUAUGACUCCAUUUGGGUUGUUGUUGACAGGCUGACCAAGUAUGCCCACUUCAUUCCGGUUCGGGUGAAAUAUACGAGAGAGAAGUUAGCUGAGCUAUAUAUCAAUCAGAUUAUGCGACUACAUGGGGUUCCUGUUUCUAUUAUAUCAGAUCGAGGUUCACUAUUUACUUCUCACUUCUGGAAAGCAUUACAAUAUGGUUUGGGUACUCAGUUAGAUAUGAGUACAGCCUUUCACCCUCAGAUAGAUGGUCAGUUUGAGCGGACGAUUCAGGUGUUGGAGGACAUGCUCCGAGCAUGUGUGAUCGAUUUUGGUGCUAGAUGGGAUCAACAUUUACCCUUAGCAGAGUUUGCCUACAAUAAUAGUUAUCACUCUAGUAUUCAGAUGGCCCCAUUUGAGGCGUUGUAUGGCAGACGAUGUAGGUCUCCGAUCGGUUGGUUUGAUUCGGUAGAGAUGGACUCUUUGGAUACUGAGUUGCUUAGAGAUGCUAUGGAGAAAGUCCGUAUGAUUCAAUAUAGAUUGUUGACAACCCAGAGUCGACAGAAGAGUUAUGCAGACCAGAGAGUUAGAGCCUUAGUGUUUAUGGAGGGCGAUCAUGUUUGGCUUAGAGUGUCACCUAUGAAGGGUGUGAUGCGGUUCGGCAAGAAGGGCAAACUUAGCCCUAGAUUCAUUGGACCUUUUGAGAUUUUGAGUCGAGUGGGAGAGGUGGCCUAUAAGUUGGCCUUGCCACCUAGUUUGUCGGCAGUUCAUUCUAUUUUCUAUGUCUCUAUACUUCAGAAGUAUAUUCCGGAUGAGUCACAUGUGUUUUCACUCGAUUCAGUGGAGUUGGGUCCAGACUUGACAUUUGAGGAGGAACCUAUAGCUAUAUUGGACAGGCAGGUUCGAAAGCUUAGGACCAAGAAGAUUGCUUCAGUGAAGGUGCAAUGGAAGCACCGAUCAGUGGGAGAGGCAACUUGGGAAACGGAGUCUGAUAUGCGUGCCAGAUAUCUUCAGCUUUUUGAAGCUUCAGGUACUUUCUUUCACCUUAUGUUCGAGGAUGAACAUGGUUUUUAGUGGUGGAUAAUGUGAUGACCCGGAAGGUCAUUUUUGAAAAUUUUGAACUAUUCGUUUAAAUUGAGUUAAUUAAUCUAUAGUUAGUGGGCUAAAGUGAUCAUUUAUUUAAGACACUAUACCAUUAAGGCUAUGUGUUAAAAAUAGGUUAGUGGAAGUUAUUAGUUUUAAUACAUAAUUAAUUUAGAAAAAAAUAAAAUAAAGAGGAGCAGAAAGAAAACUAACCUGCGGCGUGCGUUGAGCGAAGAACGAGAGUGCAGGUAUACUCAAUUCUGUGGAUAAAAAAUUCUGCUUUUUAAAUGCAUAGGAAAUCAAUAUAUAGAUAUUAUGUUAUUAAGUUGCAAUUCUUUCAAUUAAAUUAUCAUUACAAGUGGGUAUUGAAUGCAUUGGAUCUUUUGCAAUAUUGUUGGUUUUCAAAUUGAUGGGCAAAUAUUUAUGGGUUACUGUUGACAAAUUUUAGUGGAAGUAACCAAUAGUUAUUAUUAUUAUUAUAUUAGUAUAAUGAUUGUAUUAGAUUGAAGGGGGCAGUGGUGAAUUCUUGGCGGCUUAGAAAUUUAGGGGACAAGAAACGGUGCUAAUAUUAUUGUUAUUAUUAUUAUAUUUCUUUUUGUUUGUUGUCAAUUUAUGGGGAUGAAGGGAGUUGAAUAGUUAGGACUAUAUAUAUAUAUAUAUAAUUAUUUUCCAUACAUGCUAUCUCCAGUUUCAAGUAGUAAGUUGAAUGCUCACUAAAGGAGUUAGAUUAUUACUCUAUAUAUGUUAAGGCCUAAUUAAUUUUUGGGGAAAGAAUAAUGUCAUUGUUGUACACUUGGUGGGUUUUGAAAAUUGUGAGGAUAAAGUUAUGAUUACAUAUUAUAAAUUUAGGAACCUGCGGGCGACAUAUUAAUGUCUUGAUUUUAUCGAUUCCCACCACUGGUUUCAUAACCAGUGGUUUCGAAAAUUAGUAAUUCUUAUGUUAUUAUCACAUUGUAAUUUUAAUUUUGAUAUAUUAAAAUAGGUAAUUAAAUAUUAGGUAUAUCGUAUUUUUGUGAAUGUCAUUAGAUUUACGAUAAUUGAAGGAAUUGGAAGAAUUGACAAGUUAAUGGGCAUCAAGACUUGGGAACUUAAUUAUAAAUUUGGGGUAAGCUUAGUGUUGUUAGUUUCGGAAUCUUAUUGUGACUAUAUACUUGAAUAGAUUGCAUUGAUUUGGAAGCUCAACGAAAAGGGAAGGCUCAAGUCUCGGAGUGAUUGUUCGGUUAUUUGAGGCAAGUGGAUUUCUAAACCCUUGUUAAGCGUAUGGAAUUCGUGUCUUUCCUUGUGGUAUAUGUUUGGGAGUAAUGUGAUCAAUUGUUUGUAUGUGUUGAUAAUUGUUUGAAAGACUUGUUGAAUCAUUGUUGAAAUUGUAUCAUGAUUGUGUUGUUGUGAUUUGUGCAAUUGUUAUGAAAAUGGUCAUCUCCUCAUUAUUUGUGUGAACAUGUCAUUUGCACUGUUCUGAGACAUAGUUGUGAUAAGUGUUGUGUGCAUUGAGAAAUAAUAAGAAACUAAAGAGUAUGUACCAUUUCGAGGGAGUGUGCAUUGAGAAAGAAUAAGAAACUAAAGAGUAUGUACCAUUUCGAGGGACGUAUCGCGCGCCGCGAUGGAUGCAUGAACAGAUAUGUCCCCCAUGGGUCCCGGACUAAGAGACAGCGGGUGUGUAUUAUUAGGUCAGAUAUGCGUCACUAUACUUGACAUUGCAUUUCAUUGCAUUGCACAUUUUUUAUUAUUGAUGAACUUGAUCUUGUGUGUUGCUGAUCUUGUGAGUGCCUUUCUGUGAAACUUGUUAUUGAUGAAUAUUGAGUUGUUAUUGAGAAUAUAUAAUCUGUUAGAGUGUUGUUGUUGAGCUGUAUGCUUUGUAAACUGUGAAUUGUUAGGUUGGGCUGGUUUUAUGUAGGUUGUAGUUAUGGAGGUUAGGAUGGGGUGUAAGGAGUACCCGUAUUCUGUUCCCUUAGCUUGUGUUUAGAGGUUUGCUUGUUGAGUACCAUGUGGUUUGGUACUCACCCCUUGCUUCUACAAUCUUUUGUAGGUUACGAGCCCGGAUCUUCGUGAUACCUUCCAUUCUCUUCGUUUCCGAGGUUUUCCGUGGAGAUCUGAAAGGUAGCUAUUUGUCAUCUCAGCGAACCUUCUUACUCCUGUUUAUGGUUUUGUUUUUACUUGAAAGACAACGUCAUUUGAGAGUUGCGUAUUUUUAUUUCAAUUAUAGUAUUUACAUUAGAGGUUUGUGCCCGUGACAAUCAGGUUUUGGGGAUUGAAUUAAGUUGACUUGUUUUCGUAAUAGUAAUUGUUAUUGAACUUUGCUUUAUUUCCGCAAUUUAUUGAAAUGAUUGGGUUUUAGCCUGACUUGUCUUGGUGGGAUACGAUGGUGCCAUCACAUUCAUUUUUGGGUCGUGACACAAUAAGUCUUCAUCAUCAGUUCAGCCUCAUUCUUAGGACAAUAGCUCGCUAAUAAAUAUAAGGAAUAUGAAACUCUACGGAAAAUAACUUUAACUGUCAAGUAUACUUCAAAUAGUACAAACACUAUAAUAAUAUGAUACUGUCAAGAAAUAAGAUGAGCUGACAUCCCAAUGCCCUUUAGAGAGGGUCUUCCUAGUAAUAGAAUAGUAAAAAUGACUUAUUCGAUACAAUUCUUUUUUAGAAUCCGUGUGAUAUGAAAAAAAGAGAAUUUUGCCUUAAUUACUACAGCCCACUUACUUUCUUUUUAGUCUAGGGAGGUAAUUGGUCCUUAUGAAAGUUUAGUAUCGCAACAGCAAAUUCGACCAAAGUUGGGGUAUUUUUCCGACCCUUAUCCCUUAAGUGACCAACACGUAGCCAAAAUACAAUAUUCACUAAUAAAUUUAUCUCAUUGCGUAAAUGCUUGAGCAUGACGUAGAACUUUUUUUAAUAUAUCACAAUCUAUAGAAAAUUAUUUUGAAUAAAAUUUACCUCAAAUAAUAAAAAUUUAUUAACAUAAAAAGACUCACUAUUUCUGUUAAGAUAUUACUAAUUGAUAAAACUCGCAUAAAAAUAAAUAUAUAUACAAACGUAUUGUAGCUAAGAAUUUUUCCAUAAAUAAACAUUAUAAAAUUACCACUUAAUGGAAAAUAUUCCUCCACGAAGGAAACUUUGCUUUACUUAUCAAUUUGAAGUAGACACAUAGCAUGUAAUGUAUGAAUAAAUAUGUCAUUUAAAUUUAUAUAUUAAGCACAAAAGGGAACGUAAUCCUACAAAAUACGAACAUGUGAGUUUGGUAAAGAUAUAUUUUUGUGUGAUAGGCAAGAUACUCCAACCCUCAACAUGUAAUGCUUAAACUACAAAGAUAGUCAAUACAUGAACAUAGCUUCAAACACAAAUACUUAUAUUACACAAUCUAUCAAUCAUGUAUUAUACGUGCAAUUUAAAAUAGAUGAUAUAAUAUUAUGAGUUUUGAUAAACCUAUAUUAUUUUGAUGUAUGAACUAUAAAAUUUGUGUCAUAUAAAUAAAUAUUUCGUAAGGUGGGUAACAUGCGAGAAAUUUGCUAUGAUGACUUUAAAAUACACUAUUAGUUGAUAAGACAUGCUUACUUGUAUGCUCAAUAUCUUUUCUAUAUUUUACCAAUUUGAAACUUCUUAUCCUAAACUAAGAUGUCAUAUAAUAUUUGGACAACUCAACAUUCGAAUGUAUUUUAAUACAUAUAUGUAUAAAAGUUAAAGUUAGAAUAAAAUUGGCAAAUAGUAUGUAAAAACAAUUAUGUACUAGGUGGGAAAAUCCUUGGGCCAUGCUCAAAGUAAAAGGAUACAAUAUCUUUGGCAGCACAAAAGGGACGAUUCUUUUCAUUUGGAGCAGUGAUCAUAGUGGCUAAUAUUCCACCUGUACUUGUUCCAGCACUCACAUCAAAGUAAUCUACAACUCUUGCAUCUUUACCAUCCAAUUCCUGACUCAAAAAUAAUCUUUUUUAGGAUGAUCGCUGUAACAUCUCUUUUGACAUGUAAUAAAGUCUAACAAUAAAUAUAACAUGGAAAAUAAUUAUUGUUCCUUAAACAACAUGAUUUAGAGUUAAAAGAGAAUUUUUAUGAAGGAAGCGAGAUAACCUUCCACUCGAACAAUUUUUUAGAUAUAGAUCGAAUUGUGGACAUACGAGAUCCUUAUAAUAUAAAUUUGUUGUCUGAUUUAUCAUCAUAAAAGAUUUUUAAUUAUUAGUUUUGAUAUGUCAUUUUGUUACUUCGAUCUCAACAUGAUAAUCAUCAAAAUAAUACAAUUCAAAUGUAAAAAAUAUAUAGUAAUGCCACACCCACACAUACCUUUUACAAAAAAAAUAUAGGUACAUUACGUCGAUACCUGAAGUCACGGGCGGAUUUACGUUGAACCAAGGGGGUUCAUCCGAACUUUCAUCGUCAAAAAAUUACACUAUAUAUAUACAAUUAAUUUUUUAAUUUAUGUGUAUAUAUAUAAUAUUGAACCCCCUGAACAUACACCAAAGGCGUAGCUCUGUGGUGAUGUGGGUUCAAGAAUUUGCGCUGCUGCACGCGAGGUCGCGUGUUCAAAUUCGAACAGAGGCAAAUUUUUAUCAGCUUAUAUUUUAGGCGUUUUAAUUGUUUUUUUAAAAUAAUUAUAAUGGAAUCCGAAAACGACUUUAGUUCCAAAAAAUUAAAACCCUGAUAGGGAAUUUAGGAUUUUUUAGUUUAAUCCCUAAUUAUAAAGUCAAAUAUUAAAAAAUCAUUUUCUUCUUUUAGGAUUUUUUCACGUUUUAUUUUUUCAUCUCUCUUCUUCCUUGUUGGGCGCUAGUUAUUGCUUGUCGCUGCUGGCUGCUACUUGUCGUUGCUGCUUGCUGCUUCUGUUGGAUUGGUCAUUAUUGAAAACUUGAAGUCUAUAUUCGCAAUCAUUUCUUUCAUCUCCAUUAAUUACUACUUCGGUAAGUUUUUGGUUCCCUUUUUUCUUACUAGAUUUCAAUAUAUCUUAUUUCGUUAUUUAUUGAUGUGCUUUCUUGUAGUUGGCUGAAUUAUUGAUAUCAUUGAAGUUUCAAUUUUUUUGUUUGGUUAAUUUAAUAUAUUUUCUUAAUCUAAGAUUGGAGAGAUAGAGAAAUAUAAUUUAAUAAUCAAAUAACCAUUGCUUAAGCUUUUUGGUUUUGGUCCUUAUUGUAUGUAUGCUUUUUAUUAUUAGUUCUUAUUGUGUGUUUAAUUCUCUUAAAUUCUAACUAAACUUUUACUUUACAAUCCAGUCUUAAUAUUCAAUGAAGAAGUAUUUUACCCCAAUAGCGAAAUCUAGUUUAGCCUCUCAUAGUCAUAGUCAAUCUAACCAAGAAGAAAAUGUCAAUCAUUCAGAAGUACCAUCAUUCUUCUCAAGAAUUUAAUUUGAGUACUUUAAAGUUUGAUCCCGGUGAAAGAACUCCAAUAUUGAAUUAUCAUCCAAAUCAUCGUGAUGUUAUUAGAAGGGCAUACCUUGUGAAUGGUCCUUGUCAACCUAGCUUGGAGGUGCAUGAGUACCCUCAAACAAAUAUUUCUGGAGGAAUGCGUCGUUUUAAUCAUGAAUGGUUUGAUGAUGUAUAUCAUGAUUGGUUGGAGUACAGUGUUAGUAAAGAUGCAGCCUAUUAUUUGUAUUGAUAUCUAUUUAAAGGUCAUAGUAUUAAUCAAGGUGGAGGUGAAGUAUUUUCAUGUACAAGAUUUAAGAAUUUGAAUAAAAAGAGUGGUCUUGACAAGCAUAUUGGUCUGCAGAAUUGCCCACAUAAUCGAUCAAAAAAGAAAUGUCAGGAUUUACUACGACAACAACAGUCGAUUCAAUCUGCAUUUGAGAGACAAUCUAAUCAAAUUAAAUAUGGAUAUUAUAUCCGCUUAAGUGCUUCAGUUGAUGUAGUAUGACUUCUCAUAACUCAAGGACUCGCAUUUCGAGGUCAUGAUGAAUCUAAAUCAUCACUUAGUAGGGGUAAUUUUCUUCAGAUUCUCUCAUGGUAUGCAAAAAGAUGUGAUAAAAUUCGUGAUUAUGUACUUGAACAUGCCCCUCAAAUUGAUCAAAUGACUUCUCCAUUUCUCCAAUAAUUUAAAAAGAUAUUGCGACUGUAUGCAAGAUAGAAACAAUUAAAGCUAUUCUCGAGGAACUAAAUGGUGACUACUUUGCCUUACUAGUUGAUGAAUCUUUUGAUAUUUCACACAAGGAUCAAAUGGCUAUUGUAUUACGAUAUGUUGAUAGAAUGGAAUUUGUGAUGGUGCGACUUAUUGACAUUAUUCAUAUUUAAGAUACUAGUGCAUUAUCCCUGAAAGAGACAAUUAUUAAUUUACUUGCUCAACAUUCUUUGAGUCCAUCACGUGUGCGUGGACAAUGUUACGAUGGGGCAAGCAAUACGCAAAGUGAGGUCAAUGGACUUAAAAUGUUGAUUAGGCAAGAAAGUAGAUUGGCUCAUUCUAUACAUUGUUUUGCUCAUCAACUUCAACUAGCUCUUGUUGGGGUCUCUAAAAAGUGUGUUGAAGUGGGAAAACUUGUAGUUUGGUCUCAAAUAUUUUUAAUGUAUUGGGAUCUUCUUUUAAGCGUAUGGAUAAUUUACGAGAUUCUCAAAAAAGCAGCAAUUCAAGAUGCAGUAGAUAUGGGUGAACUGACAAUCGGUAGGGCUUGAAUCAACAACUUGGCUUUCAAGAGCUUGUGAUACCCGUUGGGGAUCUCAUUAUAAAUCCUUUAACAAUUUUAUUCUUAUGUUUGGCUCUAUUGUUGAAGUUCUUGAAUCACUUGCUCUUGAUACACGAAAUAUGGAUGAAAGAGCCAAGGCAAUGGGACAUCUUGAAUCUUGUCGAACAUUUGAGGUUGUGUGCAUUUGAUGAGAGAUGUAUUAGCAAUCACAAAUGAGCUCAAUAAAUGCUUACAAAGAAAGGAGCAAGAUGUUGCAAAUGCCAUGCUACUUGUUGAAGUAGCAAAGAAAAGCUUGCAAGUUUUAAGGGAUGAUAAAUGGAAUUCUCUUAUUGCUAAGGUAUCUAUAUUUGUACCAAACAUGAAAUUUUGAUACCUAACUUUGAGGAGCCAUAUGUUAGCUCUUUAAGAUCACGACGAAGACUUGCUCACAAUACAGUCUUCAUCAUUACCGUGUUGAAGUGUUUGCAAUAUUAUUGAUUGGCAACUUCAAGAGCUUAAUGAUCGUUUUAAUGAGGUAGCUACUGAUUUGCUCCAUGGAAUUGCUUGUUUGAAUCCAAUUAACUCAUUUUCAAGUUUUGACAGCAACAAAAUAAUGAGGUUGGCUGAAUUAUAUCCAGAUAAUUUUGAUGAAUUUAAUAUAGAUACUCUUGAAAAUCAACUUGCAAGUUACAUUGUUGAUGUUUGUGAUGUUGAUGAAAAGUUCUCUGAUCUAAAUGAACUUUGUGAUCUUUCCAAAAGAUUAGUCCAAACAAAAAAACAUUCAAAUUAUCCUCUGGUGUUCCGCUUAGUGAAACUUGCUCUACUUCUACCAGUUGCCAUUGCAUCCGUUGAAAGAGCUUUCUUGGCAAUAAAGUUUAUCAAGAAUGACCUGCGAAGUCAAAUGAGUGAUGUUUUUUUAGUGGUUGUUUGGUGUCUUUUGUAGAAAAAGAUGUAUUUGAUAGUAUUCCUAAUGAUGAUAUUAUUAAGACAUUUCAAGAUAUGAAACCUCGUAGAGUACAAUUGUAAUGAUCUAUUUAAGUUUUUAGAUAUAUGUGCUCUAAAUUAUUAUUUUUUAUUUGACCCAUUUAUAUCCGAUUCGAUCCAUUUAUUUGUGAAUAUUAUUUACGCGAUUAAUUUUUUCUUGAACUCCUUGAUGAAAAUCCUCCCUCCGUCACUGCUUGAAGUUGGUCUUCAAGAAAAGCAAGAAUAGUAGCUAGAAUAAUUCCUCUUAUGCCUCCUCCAUCAACACUAAGAAUUGUCACCAUUUCUCCCUAUCACAUGAGAUGUUGCUACAAAAAAAAGUAUAAUGAAAAAUGAUCUUCUAGUUGCCGUUGUUAGACUAUCUUUUUGGGAGUACAAAAGCAUCGACUAACAAGUGAGGAUUUAUAUAAUCACAUGAAAAGUCUUGGUUCAAGUCCAGGAUGAUCAUUUACUCUUUGUAAUCAGAUUUGUUAGCAAAGUAAUCUCACAAUUAUUAUAUUUGUAAGCCGAGUCAGACCCAUGUAGGGUCAAAGAGAUUCAAAUGAAUCCAUAUGAUCGAAAUAUUUUAUAGGUUAAAUUUGAUAAAUUAAAAUUAAUCGUAUCAUGUCAAAUGAACUAAUGUGAUCCUAUGGUGUGAUGAUCUAGUAGGUUCAAAAAAUUGUUGUGAUAUGAUUUUUGAAACGCCUAUGCAAUAUUAAUUCUUAAAUAUUUUUACUUAAAUUUUUGUUUUGUGUAACCAUAUAUUUUAUUACAAAUGUGUGCACAUUUGGUCAAUUUUAUGGUUAUACCUUGUUACUUUCUGUCUAUGGAUUAAUUUUCUCUUUUUUUUUUUACUCUUGUUUUUUUUUCUAUCAGAGGGCGUUUGACUAAGAGUUAAUUUGGAUUGAUUUAUUUUAAAUGCUAAAAUAAUUCUAGAGUAUUUUUGUAGUGUUUGAAUAAAAUAUAAAAGUUUUUUUAAAACAAUUGUUUUAAACUCAAAAAGACAAAAAUUGUCAAAAAAUCAUAAGUUAGAAUUUUUAUCUAUGACUUUUAAGUCAAACAGAUAAAAAUUAAGUCAAAAGCUAUAAAUAGAAUUUCUAACUUAUUACUUUUGACCUAUAAGUCAUAAUCACAAUCUCAUGCAAACAAAUUCUAAUCAUAUAAGUUGGUAAAAUUAACUUUUAAAAGAUGUUUGACUAAGUGUAUUAGCUGGUCAAAGUGUUGAACAAGUUUAUUUUUAAAAAAAUGAGGUGUUUGGCUGUAAUGACCCGUUAGGUCAUUUUGAAAAUUAGUCAUCGCUCUUUCAUAAAAGAUCCUUUUUGUAAAUUUUUAAUGAGAAUUUUGAAUUACUCUUUUAACUAUGGUUAUUUUAUUGAUAAGAAUUCUUUAAUAAUUAAUAUAAUUAGUAAUUAAUGGACCAAGAAUAUAAUUUUAUUAACGGAAAAUUACGCGGUUAAGCAAACUUAUACUACUUAUUUACUCAUCAUAGCUAUAGUUUGCUAUAAUUACCACUCACGACUAACAUUAUACAUUAAUUACGCGGGCUGACUUCGAGUUUGUUUUUACUAGUCAUGUUUGUAUAUGUAUAAUUCGUCAGAAUACACAAAUACAUAUGUAUAAUAUACAAUUAUCUAACCUAUAUACAUAUACAAUUCACCUCUCGCCCACUCUCUGCCCUCUCUCGCUCGCCUCUCUCCUCCCUCUCCCAAUCUCGCUCGCCUCUCUCCUCCAUCUCCCAAUCUCCCAAUCCGAGCUGACUUCGAAUUUGUAUAAUUACUCCGUAUAAGAGCGUUUGUACUGCCAACGUUGUUUCAAUUCAUAUAAACAAGAUGAAUAGGCAGAGAAAGUUCACUCAAAAGUAGCGAGAACAAAAAAUAAGAGUAUUCCAUCAGAAAAAUCUGCAAGUUUUUCAAAGGAUGAAACGAUAAUUAUAGUUCAACAACUGAAAAUGCAAUUUCGCGGCACCAGAAGAGGCCGGGGAUCUCGAAACCAUAGACAGCCGAUCAGAUCCAGAUUUGGGUUUGCAACUUCUCAAUAUAUACUUGCUCCUCAAAAACACAAUUUCGUCUCAAUUACCUCUUCCAAAUUUCUCAGAGGCUUGUUCCAUGCUUUACGAAUACGAAAAAACAACAUCAACUCCACCUCGCUGGAGAAAGUAGCUAGUAAUACUUGUAAGAGUACUGUGGAGAUGAUCCAUGAUAUAGCAAGUACAGUAACAAAUGUAGCUUCAAUAGCACGCGAAUUUUGGAAUGCGAUUGGACCCUAGCUUAUGAUAGAAGCAGAGGCAUAAUUCGGCGCCACAGGAAGCCAUUCUCGCUCCAGGUAAAACAAGAAUUCGCCUAACUAAUCUUCAUCUCUAAUUCGUAUGUACUAGUUUUAGGAGUAAGAGUUUAAUUAAUUAUUAAAUUGAUAGGUUGGAAGAGUUGAAUAUUUACAGAAUGUUGGAGAUAUUGUAAUGUAAAUUAUUUUUGAUUGGGUGUAUUUAUUUAUGGCAGUGGAUUGAUGUUUCAUGAUGAGUAAUGAUGAGGAAAUUAAUGAUGAGAUAGUAAUGAGUGGAAUAGAAAAGUUGUAGCUAGCUUAGGUUCUGCGUAUUAUCUUCCGUAACAGGUUGGUUUCUAUGUUUAUUUUUGGUUAGCAUAUUGUGAUCAAGAUUUUAAUAUAUUGAGAUACCUAAUUACAUAUUAGGUGUAUUGUAGUAUGUGGAUACCAUUAAAAUUAUGCUAUUUGAGGGAAUCAAAACUUAACCCUAGACUUGAAAGUUGGAAAGUAUGAUAGUUGAAAUGUUAAUUGACAUCAAGAUUUACGAACUUGAUUAUAAAUUUGGGUGAAUUUUGGUUCAAGGCUAAACACAUAAUAAUGUGGGUGUUGUUAGUUUCAAAAUCUUAUCGUGGUAAUUUGUUUGGAUAGAUUGUAUUGAUUUGGAGCCCAACGAAAGGGAAAGGCUCAAGUCCCGGAGUGAUUGUUCGACUAUUUAAGGCAAGUGCAUUCCUAAACCCUUGUUAAGUGUAUGGAAUUCGUGUAUUUCCUUGUGAUAUGUGUUUGGGGGUAAUGAGACUUGGUGAUGUGUUGACUUGUACACAUUGAUUAUUUUCUAAUGAUGAAAAAAGGGUAAUAAAAGGCAAUGUGUUUAAUUGUUGAUGUGUGAUGUUUGAGACUGGGUUGAAAGGCUUGUUGAAUCAUUGUUGAUGUUGUAUCACGAUUGUAUUGUUGUGAAUUGUGUAUUGUUAUGAAAAUGGUCAUCUCCUCAUUAUAUGUGUGAACAUAUCAUUUGCAUUGUUCUGAGACAUUAUUGUGACAAGUGUUAUGUGAAUUGAGAAAGUAUAAGAAAUUAAAGAGGAUGUACCAUUUUGAGGGACGUAUCGUGCGCCGCGAAGGAUAUUAUAUUUUGAGGGACGUAUCGCGCGCCGCGAUGGAUACUAUAUUUCGAGGGACGUAUCGCGCGCCGCGAUGGAUACUAUAUUUCGAGGGACGUAUCGCGCGCCGCGAUGGAUACUAUAUUUCGAGGGACGUAUCGCGCGCCGCGAUGGAUACUAUAUUUCGAGGGACGUAUCGCGCGCCGCGAUGGAUACUAUAUUUCGAGGGACGUAUCGCGCGCCGCGAUGGUUAUUAUUAUCGAGGGUCGUAUCGCGCGCCGCGAUGGAUGCAUGGACAGAUAUGUCCCCCAUGGGUCCCGGACUGAGAGACAGCGGGUGUGUAUCACUAGGUCAGACAUGCAUCACUAUACUUGACAUUGUAUUCCAUUGCAUUGGCAUAUUUAUCAUAUAGGGAACUUGAUAUUGUGUUUUGCUGAUCUUGUGAGUGCCUUUCUCUGGAACUUUGAUUGGUGAAUAUUGAGCUUGUUGUUGAGGAUAUGUAAUUGUUAGAGUGUUGUUGUUGAGCUGUGCCCUAUGUGAAUUAUGAACUGUUAGGUUGGGCUGGCUUUAUGCAGGUUGUAGUUGUGGAAGUUCGAUUUGGGUGUAAGGUGUACCCGUAUUUUAUCCCCUUAGCUUGUGUUUAGAGGUUUACUUGCUGAGUACCACAUGGUUUGGUACUCACCCCUUGCUACUACAUUUUUUUUGUAGGUCACUAGCCCGGACCUUUGUGGUAUAUUCUCUUCUUUUCUGAGGCUUCUUGGAGAUUUGUGAGGUAGUUGUUUUUCAAUUCAACAGACCUUUUUACUCUUGUUUAUGAUCUUGUUCUACUCUAGAAACAAUGUCCUAUGAGACUUGUGUUUUUCUUUUGAAUCAGUUGUAAUACUUUAGGGGCUUGUACACGUGACAAUCAAAUUUUGGGGGUAUUUUUUGAGUUAAUUAUGAAAUUUCCGCAUUUUAUUGUAAUGGGUGAGUGUUAGGCUGACUUGUCUUGGUGGGAUAAGACGAGUGUCAUCACAUCCAUUUUUGGGUCGUGACAUUGGCUAACUUUUUGAGAUAUUUUUUAUAGUACAUAGUUCUAGAAGCCGUUUUCAGAAGCUAAAAAACUGUAAAUUUUUCCUAAAAACACUUUUUUUUGCAAAACACUUAAAAGAAAAAUACUUUUAAAAGUACUUUUAAAAAAUUUGAUCAAAUAUAAUUGUUGCUAAAAAGUUCAUUUUUAUUUAUGUGUUAUAAACAAACUAUUUCUCACCAACAAAUACUUUUUAAAAAAACACUUUCAAAAAAAAGACUUCUCACCAUAAGUUUAUUUUAGAAGUUAGCCAUACAUAUUAAGGAUGUCUGAUUAAUUGUUGGUACCCACUUGCAUAUAAGUUCACAUUAAUAUGAAGAAAUUAACAAGUAUUGAAUAAAAUUUCUUUUAUAAAAUAAAUCAAAAUGCUAGUCGUCAAUUUUUUAUUCUUUAUCUUCACUUAUUCAUUUUCAUCAUUCUCUUAUUCUUUUCGUGUAUUUAACUUCAAUUACAUUAUAUUGUUAAUUUACCUUGAUAUCUGAUGGAUCAAAUCACUUGCCUCAAAGUAGUACUAUUUUUUUUCUCAUUCAUUUAGGAUAUCUAAAGUUGAAGAAUCUCUUAUAUCAUAUCAUAAUUAUUUGUAUAAUAUUAACUUGCCACUUCAAAUUAUAUUUUUUUUUUCUUUUUGCUUUGAAAAGAAGAUUCAAAUACCAUAGCAUAAAAUAACGACAAUUUAUUUAAAUAUUUAACACAACCAAAAGGUUACAUAAUCCAAGCACACAUUACAUAGAGAGACAUUUCUAUUGAAAUUUAUCCCUCAAACUCCUUUUAUUUUGAGGUUGAAAUACUUAAAUGCGUGCAAUCAUAAAUAUUGCAAGCGUUUAUUAUUUACUACUACAACCCGGGACCUUGAAUUAAUAAGAAGCUUUGUUUGCUCGGAGUUUCUUCCUAUCAGAGAGCAAUUUUGCAAAUCUACAACGAAAUAAACUAUUUUAAUUAGCAAUAAAAUACUAAUAUGAAUAAUAUUGACUGACGAGAUAUAGUAAUAUGAAAAAAAAAAAAAAGAAUUAUUUCAAGCACCGAUAGUUUUACCUCUUUAGAGCUUCCUCAUAGGUUUUCAGGACUGUCUUUGGAAACUGGUUUCUUCAAUAAUGUUUCACCAACUUGUACUAAUAAAUCCAUAUUAGCCUCAGACGCAUCAUCCAUUUCAGUAGUUGUGCCUGUUAAUGCAUUUUCCUGGAAUUAAAUAUACAUAAUUUAGACAUACUUCACUAUCAUAUAUGACAUGCAUAUUAUAAAAUAAUAAUAAUGAAGAAACUACAUAAUAAGACAUACUUCACUAUCAUAUGUACUUUUAAAAUUUUACGUAUCUUAUCAUUAAUUAAGAGUUUUCUACCAUAUAUUAAGAAAAAAUUACUUAGAUACAUGUAUUUUUGCUACCAAAUACACAAAUAUAGGGAGAAAGGCGAGUGAGAUUCGUAUGUAUCUGAUAAAAUAGGUAAUAUUGCAAACUAGCUAGUGAGAUUUAUGUAAGUUUAAUUUCCGAUAAGUUGGGACUUACUUGAACCCUGAGGUAAUUGUUUUGUGAAUGACGAGCUUGAAAAACAGUAGAAAUGUAAUAAUCAGUCAUGUAAGAACUUGCUGCAUUAGUCAUUUGCUGUAUAGCUAACAUCCAUCGUAGAGGACCCCAUUUAGCUGCCUCUUCUGCUGUAUAUGUUUUAUCAAACUCUGAAUUAGUGCCAGUGCCUAAUGAGAGCAACAACAUUUGCUUGUAAUCCAAUGACUUAAUUGAAGCAAAUUUUGGAUCCACUUGUGCAAGUUUCGUUGCAACGCUAAGGGAUAAUAACGCCUGCAUUACACGUACGUACAACAUUGAUUAGAUAUUUCGAAAAAACAUAUAAAAUUGAAUCGAAAAAAGUAGUAGUAUUAAUUAGUACCGGAUCACCAACAGUAGCAACACCACCAUCAACAAGAUUGAACUCAUAUAUAUCACCAUUACUAGUAUGAGUAGUAAAGUAAUGUGGAGGAAAAUAUAUUGGAGCUGCUGCUGUGGAAUAACAUAUGUCAUACAUCUUAGCAUCCAAUUCUGGAGCAUUUGCUAACUGCAUUUUAAAAAUAUACAUUUACCAAACGUACUAGAAAAUAAAUAAGAAAUUCACUAGUUUACAAAUCAUGACUAUAAUUAUUUCGACUUACAUUUGACUUAGUGAAUAUUACUGGCUUAUUUGUUUUGAUGUCAAAGCUUGAGAUGGCAACUUCUGUCAAAGCUUGAUGCACACGAGUUUCUCCAAGUUUUUCUUGAAGAACUUGCAUAAGAUAUUUUCCAUCAUAUUUUGGGCCAAAAAUUGAACCACUGCAUAAUAUAAUGUAACCAAAUUAAAUAUAAGUAUAAAGAACAAAAAUCUCAUAUAUUUGGGGUUAAUUAUAUCUUACCUCAGAAGUUUACUCAAUUACGUACAAAAAUACUAAAUAUUUCAUUGCUCUCGGAUAUAUUCCUUGGCUGUCCGAUACAUUGCAAAUGAUGCAUUACUUAAUGGGAGGGAUGUAUCUGAAAGGGGAUAGAGAUGUAACUUAGAAGAGAUUUUUGUAAUUUUUUUAAUGGUAGGAAAUUUUAGAGAAUAUAAUAUCUUAAGUUGUGUAUUUAUGUAAUUUUUUGUAAAUAUAAUUCAUUACUCAAAACAUAUUCUCCUUCUUUCUUUCGAGUUGUUUGACCUAUUUUUUUAGUCCAUCUAAGAACAAUGUACUCCAUCUGUCCCAUUUUAUGUGGCACUUUUCGGAUUUCGAGAUUCAAACAAGUUUAUCUUUGAUCGUAAAUUUUUUAUAGAUUUUUUAAACAUUCUGAAUUAUCAAUUAUUGUGACUUGUAGUACUUUUUACGUAAUUUUACAAGUAUAUAAAUUUCAUUUCAACAAAUUUGCAGAUUUCAUGCGCAAAUUCUAGGUCAAACUUAAACUGUUUUGACUCUCGAAAAACAAAAAGUGCCACAUAAAUUGGAACAAAGAGAGUAAGUGAUUGUUUUUACUUUAUAGUGACUCUUUGAUUUCAACUUUCAACUAGACAUGUUUAAGACCACAAUAUUAAAUAUUGAUACGUUUGACAUAUCUUCAUCAAUUUAAUAUCUGAAGACUCAAAAAUCUUUUUUCACUCUCUUAAACUCCGUAUCAAAUUAAAAUUAGACAAAUAAAUUAAAACAGAGGAAUAUAAAUAUGUAUAUGUACCUAUUAUUAAAAAUAUGAGGGCCAUGUUCGAAGUAAAAAGGUACAAUAUCCUUGGCAGCAGCAAAGGGUCGAUUGUUUUCAUUUGGAGUAGUUAUUAUAGCAGUCAAUAAACCUCCUGUACUUGUUCCUCCAAUUACAUCAAAGUAAUCUGCAAGUCUUGCAUCUUUAUUAUUGUCCACUUUCUGACUCGAAAAGAAAAGUAAGUCGUAUAAAUAACAACUCACUUAUCAAUCAGAUAGUACAUUUAUAUAUUAAGAAAAAAUUACUACAAAAGUUGUAACAUAAGAAAACCAUGAUUUAUUUGAAUAAUAAUUACCCUAUCGAUAAUAGAAGUACUAUUACUAAUCAUUAUCACUAAUAAGCAUCGAAAAAAUACAAUUCAAGAGUAAAAAAAGAAAAAAACGAUUGUAAUGUCACACUUACAUACAUACACGAAAAAAUAUUUUUACGAUACCUGAAGUUGUCCUUCAAGAAAACCAAGAAUGGUACCUAGAAUGACUAUAUAGUAGUGUCACACUUACGUACAUACAUUACAAAAUAUUUUUACGAUACCUGAAGUUGUCCUUCAAGAAAUUCGAGAAUGGUAGCCGGAAUGAUUCCCUUAAUUCAACCUCCAUCAAUACUAAGAACAGUCACCAUUUCUCCCAACGUAGCAAAUGUUGAACUAGUAGUUGCUAAUAUCAUAAAAAUUAAAAUUAAAAAAGAUUUAGUAGUUGCCACUUUGCAGAUUAUAAUUAAUAAAAACUAAUAUCUCAAAGUGUUUUUAAAUUUUGUUGAUGCUUUGAGCAUAUAACAAGCGUGGUAUAUAUAGGCACGUAAACAAGUUGAGAAAUUUUAUUUUGAGUUUGACAUAACCAAUAAAAGUUAGUGAUGUCUAUUAGUGAUGUUUAUUACCUCACUCACUUUGCACCGCAACUGUCGUUAGUGAUGUUUACCUUUCCUUUUUCUAUUCUUUAUUAGUAUUAUAUAAUAUAUAUGUGUGAUGAGACUUGAAAUUGUUUAGCACCGCAAAUGUCCUUGUUGAGGGGAGGUUUUCUUUUGCUGAAGUUGGGGUGGUUGGGGUGUCACAUACACCCCUCUAUGGACUCAACGUCCUUGAUGAGGUUCAUUUCACACUGCAUGAGAUUUUUCUAGACUCUACACUAUGAUUUUUCUCACCUUAUCAAAAUUGCUUAAACUCAGUUGAAGUCAGGGCCAUAUCGACAAAACUGACACAUGAUAGACUCUGAUAUUAAACAGAUUCUCUCCCUCGUACCUCACUCACUUUCCUUUUUCUAUUCUUUAUUAGUAUUAAAUAAUAGAUCCAUUCCAACCAUUUACGUACAUAAGAAGAGAGAUAUUUUUUUAAUGGACUAACAUGACAAAUAAAACAAACAAAGGAGUAAUGAUCGAUGAUAAAAAUAAAAGUGGCAAUGACCCAGAUAUAUAUAUCGAUCGAUUAUCAUAUGACAAUAAAAUUAUGGACAGAGAUAUGGAGAAAUUGGAAAUAAAGUCAAAAUCGUCGUUGGCCAAGGACUUAGAAACCUUGUAAAUUGUAAUUUAACCCUCCCACACCUAACACUAUUAUUUCCACAUAUAUAUUUGGUGCCCCAUGGAGUUACUUCCAUUUCCACGUUUUGGGUACGUCUCCAUCACACUAGAGUGUGAUUUCGGCUUCUUGUGCAUGCGCUAAAUGUUGUUUGAUAGUUGAAUUAGAAGUGAGUUAUACAUGUAUUAUAUUCUGCAUAAAUAAUAACACGUUUGAUAAUUGGUUAGGAGUUAGUUUUUCAUAAAUAAAACUAAUAAAAUAAAUAAUUGAUCCCUACCUAAAAUAAUACACAAGUUCUCUCAUUACUAAUACUUGCAUACUCUAACCUGCAAAGUGUGGUAGGACUCACCCAGGUAAGUGUCACGAUGGCUCCACAAGUUGUUUCAAGUGUGGACAAGAGGGUCACUUCAUGAAAGAGUGCCCUAAGAACCGGCAAGGUAAUGGGAAUCAGGGCAAUAGGGCCCAAUCUUUAUCAGUUGCUCCACCAGACAGGGCUGCACCUAGAGGAGCUACUUUCGGUAUUGGCGGAGGACAAAACCGCCUUUAUACGAUCACUAGUCGUCAAGAGCAAGAGAAUUCUCCAGAUGUUGUCACUGGUAUGAUUAAAGUCUUUACUUUUGAUGUUUAUGCUUUGCUAGACCCAGGAGCAAGUUUAUCUUUUGUGACUCCUUAUGUUGCAAUGAAUUUUGAUGUCCUUCCUGAGAAACUUUGUGAACCCUUUUGUGUUUCUACAUCGGUUGGGUAGUCUAUUCCAUCUGAGAGAGUAUAUCGUGAUUGUGUCAUUUCCAUCAAUCACAAAGACACCAUAGCUGAUUUAAUUGAGUUAGACAUGGUAGACUUCGACGUCAUUCUAGGUAUGGACUAGCUUCAUGCUUGUUAAACCUCUAUUGAUUAGAGAUCUUGAGUUGUUAAGUUCCAACAGAUUUUGAUGUCAUUCUAGAAAUGGACUGGCUUCAUGCCUGUUAUGCCUCCAUUGAUCGUAGAACUCGAGUUGUUAGGUUCCAAAUUUCUAAUGAGGCAGUUAUAGAGUGGAGUAGCAAUUCAACAGUGCCUAAGGGUCAUUUCAUUUCGUACCUUAAGGCGAGAAAGUUAGUUUUCAAGGGGUGUGUCUAUCACUUAGUCCGAGUUAAUGAUUCUAGUGUUGAGACACCUCCUAUUGAGUCAGUUUCAGUUGUGAAUGAGUUUCCAGAAGUCUUUCUAGAUGAUCUACCCGGAGUCCCUCCUGAGAGAGAAAUAGACUUCAGUAUAGCUAUUCUUCCUGAUACUCGUCCUAUAUCUAUUUUGCCAUAUAGAAUAGCACCAGCAGAGUUGAAAGAGCUAAAAGAGCAGUCAGUGGUGGAUCUAUGAAGGGUUGUGGGGGUGCCACGCCACCCCCGAAUUUCGACGGAAACUCUAUAUAUACAUAGGUAUAUAUAUAAUAUUUAUAUAAAUAUAAAGCGUGCCACCCACAGAACAAAACUGGCUUGUGGUGCCACGGUAGGAGGGCAACUUUAGAAGGCUGAUGUUGCGGGUUCGUUUGAGAAAUUUGCUGCAUACGUUUUUAAGAAAAAAAAAGGCUCCAAGCACGUUUUUUUAAGGAAAAACAGCUGGCACAAUUUUUUUUAUAUUUUUUUAUAAUUGUUAUUGACUUAAAUUAAAUUAAUUACAUUAUUACUCCUUUGACUUUUCACUUGCUUAUUUUCUUGUAAUGUUGAUUUUGAUUUUACUUGCUGCUACUGCAACUGUGGAGAGAGCAUUUUUGUCAUUGAAGUACAUAAAAAAUGAAGUGCAGAAUAGUAUUGGUAAUCAAUAUUUAAAUGAUUGUCUAGUGUGUUACAUAGAGCGUGAUGUAUUUAUAAAUGUUAGUAAUGAUGUCAUUAUCGAUCGUUUUCAGAAUAUGAAAACUCGUCGAGGACAAUUGUAAAUGAAUGAUGAAUAUUUAUAAUAUUAGUAAUAUUAUUGAAAGUUUUAAACUUAUUUGUGAGAAAAAAGGAUGGUUCCCUUAGAAUAUGUAUAGAUUAUCGCCAGUUGAACAAUGUUACCAUCAAGAAUAAGUAUCCUCUUCCGAGAAUUGAUGAUCUUUUCGAUCAGCUUCANNNNNNNNNNNNNNNNNNNNNNNNNNNNNNNNNNNNNNNNNNNNNNNNNNNNNNNNNNNNNNNNNNNNNNNNNNNNNNNNNNNNNNNNNNNNNNNNNNNNNNNNNNNNNNNNNNNNNNNNNNNNNNNNNNNNNNNNNNNNNNNNNNNNNNNNNNNNNNNNNNNNNNNNNNNNNNNNNNNNNNNNNNNNNNNNNNNNNUGAAUAGAGUAUUCAAGCCUUAUUUAGAUAUGUUUGUUAUCGUGUUCAUUGAUGGCAUUCUAAUCUAUUCGAGGAAUGAGGAAGAUUAUGCUAGCCAUCUCAGAAUAGUUUUCCAAACUCUAAAGGAUAAGGAGUUAUAUGCUAAGUUCUCUAAAUGUGAGUUUUGGCUUAAGUCUGUGGCAUUCUUAGGCCAUAUUGUUUCCAGUGAUGGGAUUAGAGUUGAUUUCAAAGCUUGAGAUGGCAACUUUUGUCAAAGCUUGAUGCAAACGAGUUUCUCCAAAUUUUUCUUGAAGAACUUGCAUAAGAUAUUUUCCAUCAUAUAUUGGGCCUGAAUUUUGACCACUGCAUAAUAUAAUGUAACCAAAUGAAAUAUAAGUAUAUAGAACAGAAGUAUCAUAUAUUUGGGGCUAGUUACAUUCUAUCUUAGAAGUUUACCCAAUUAUGUACAAAAACACUGAAUAUUUCAUUGCUCUCGGAUAUAUUCCUUGGCUAUCUGAUACAUUUCAAAUGAUACAUUACUUAAUGGGAGAGAUGUAUCUGAGAGGGGAUAGAUAUGUAUUUGAGAAGAGAUUUUGGUAAUUUAUUUUUAAUGGUAGAGAACUUUAGAGAUUAUAAUAGGGCAAAAAACUUAAAUAUACAAUUUAAGUACCUUAAUUACUACUAUAUAGCAAUAAAAAAAAAUCGCCUAUAUAGCAAUAGUUUUUUUUUCAAAACUAGAAUUUAGUAUUAAAAAAAAAAAGGAAGCGUAGAAUUAGUCAGCCACGAUUUUCUUAUAAUCCCUGAUUUUCUCCAAUUCUUUUACCUUCCACGAUUCACUCAGAUUUAUAAUAUAUUCCCUCCCAUAAAAAAAGUUUUUUUUAACAAAAAUAAAAGUCUCUUUCUACUCCCUUCUGAUCGACAGUUCAAACAUACCAACAAUUUUUCAAUUCUAAUUCAACACAACGGACGAUGGGACGCAUCAGGUAUUUGUGAUAAAUCACAUUGAAUUAGUGUUUUUUUACGUGAUUAUUUUAAUUAUUUUAUUUAAUAUAUUUAAAUUUUUUUUCAUGAUCGUUAUCUUAUAAUCUACUAUGUUGGGUAUAUAUUUUUUGUUAAAUCUGAAUUAAGGUCGUUUAUCAAUCACAUUUAUAGAUUGGAUUUGGGUAUAUUGAGUGGUGUGUUAUUUUUUGGUAUUUAUUCGUUGCUUUAAUUUGUAGGGAUUUGUUGUUUAGUAUAAAAUUCAUAUUGCGUGAUUCUGCUUUGGUAAAUGGUUUGGUGAAACGAUGGUUUUGUGGUUUUGUAUAAAAUAAAUUUUAUUAAUAUUUUUAGUAGAUUAUUAGGUGUAAUUGAUAGUGUACAUGGUGUGAUGAUUUGGUGUAAUUGUUAUUCUGUAUUAUGUUUUUAUAAACACCAUAAGUCAUAGUUUUUUUUGGUGCGAGUGUUAUCUAUCAGGUCACAUAGAAAAAUAAGCUUUGAUGAUUAAUAUUGAGUAAAUAAUUUGGUGUUAAUGAUGGUAUAUUUAAAUACAUUUAUUAAACGUUGAAUUUAGUGAAUUUUUUUUGGUCUAACAUUAAGUGUAAUUGAUCAGUGCACUUGAAUAUCUUUUAGUCCAUAUAUAAAUAUCAUAUUUCGAGAAUUUCUUUUUGUAUGUGAUCUGGUGUAAUUAGUAUCUUUUAGGCCUUACAUAAACAUCAUAAUUCGAGAAUUUCUUUUGGUGUGUGAUCUGUGUAAUUGGUAUCUUUAAACCUUAUAUAAACACAAACUUUCAAGCUAAUAUUUUGGUACAUCUAUUGUUUAUUGGUAAAUGAUUUGAUGAAAAUGAUGGUGUAGUAAGCUAAUUUAGUCGUCAACCAUUUUGUAUACCAGCAUGAUUACCAUUUUGUAUACCAGCAUUAUUACCAUUUUGUAUACCAACAUGUUUGCCUUUUUGUAUACCAGCAUGUUUGCCUUGCAAAAGCACUUGGGAUAUUCCAUCGCAUAUUUUGGAAGAGGUAAUGUUAUCACUAAUUGGAAGAAAGCAAUCAGGCAGACCAUCAAAUAAUGAUCGUAAGAAGGAUUCAACGAAGGAAAAUGCAAGAGAAGUAUAGUCAUUUGUAGUAAAUGUGAUAUAUCCGGGCAUAACAGAAAGACUUGCCCCAAAUUUGUGGAUCACGCUUAACAAUAGUGUGUUGUUUUUAUUUUAGUUUUACUUAAAACAUUAUGUAGUUGAAACUUUUAGUUUUAUGUUGGUUAAAUGAAUCAUAUUAUUGGUUUAUUUAAUGAUAUAACAUUUCCGAUUGCUUGUUUUUGAACUUAAGUUGUCUUUUUAUGCACAAAUUUAUAUAUGUAAAUAGUUAUGAACUAAUUGUAAAUUUUAAUAAAUGAAAAGAACUGCAAUUUCUAUAAUAUUGAUGUAGUAUUCAAAAGUUAUUAUCUAUUAUACAUAUUGGUGUAAUUUUCGUUGUAAGGUUGGUACAUUCAUAGUAUAUUGAAAGAAGAACUAAAGGCAAAAUAUAACAAACCUAUUGAAAAGUGAUGGACUUAUGAGAUAAAAUAAUGGUGAAUCGAAAAUUAAUUUAAUUUAAUAUGCUAUGUAAUUAUUUUUUUGAAAAGCUCAGUAAUAACCAUUAAUUGGUGAGAUAAAAUAAUUUAAUUUAAUGCAUGAUUAUCAUCCCCCCAAAAAUAGGUACAAAAUCCCAAAAAAAGGAAAAACUAAACUAAAUAAAUAAUUAAAAUCGAAAAUUAAGAGAAAAGACUAGAAUUAAUAAAUAGUAUAAUUAUGGUUGAAAAGUCAAAAAGUAAACAAUAACUAUCAAUUUCAUAAAUUUAGCACACAACCUCCAAAAAUAGGAAAUAAAUUGGAUACUAAAAUAUACAAAAAAAAUCAAAAAUUCAUUAUAUGGGCAAAAAAAUAAAUAUAAAACAGUAUAAUUAUGAUUGAAAGUGCAAAAAGUAAACAAUAAUUAUCAAUACCAUAAGUUUAGCACAUAAUCCACAAAAAUAGGAAAUAAAUCGUAUACUAAAAUAUGUAUAAAAAAUGAAAAUUGAAGAUAUAGGUAAAAAAUAAUAAUAUAAAGAGUAAAAUUAUAGUUGGAAAACUUAAAGGUAAACAAUAAUUAUCAAUCCCAUAAUUUUAGCACAUAACCCCCCAAAAAAGGAAAUAAAUUAAAUAUUAAAAUAUUUUUUUAAAAAAAUCAAAAAUUAAAAUAUUAUGUCAUGUUUGUAAUUGAAAACUUAGUUUUGUAAAUAAAAAGGAGUAUAUACAUAUAUUGUUAAUUAAGAUCUUAAAUAGUAUAUUUUUGUAAUAUUUUCUUAUAUAUAAGUAUCUUAAGUUGUGUAUUUAGUCAAAACAUAUUCUUCUUUCUUUCGGUCCGUUUCGAGUUGUUUGACCUAUUCUUUUUUUUUUAGUCCAUCUAAGAAAAAUGUAUCUUUUUUACUUUUUAGCGACUUUUUGAUUUCAACUUUCCAACUUGACAUAUUUAAGGUCAUAAUAUUAAGAGAAAAAAACCUGAAAUAUAUUCGAACUUUGACAGAAAUUACUGUAACUAUACCAAAUUUUGGGUAGGACCUAUUACCCCCUGUACUUUUUAAUAGUGUAUUUUAAAGAUAUAUAAGUGUCCACGUGGACAAUUUACUAUUUAUAAUGAUGCAAUAUUGAUGAUGUCCACGUAGACACUUAUAUAUCUUUAAAAUACACUAUUAAAUAGUGUAGGGAGGUAAUAGGUCUUGCCUAAAGUUUGAGAUUGUUACAACAAUUUCGGUCAAAGUUCAGAUAUAUAUAUAUUUCAAAUCUUUUUCCCUAAUAUUAAAUGAUAUUUUGAUACGUUUGACAUAUCUUCAAUUUAAAACCAGAAGACUGAGAAAUCAUUUUUCACGUUCUUAAAUUCUAUAUCAAAUCAAAAUUAGAUAAACAAAUUAAAACUGAUGAAGUAUAAAUAUAUAUAAUGUACCUAUAAAUUCAAAAAUCAUAGGGCCAUGUUGGAAGUAAAAAGGUACAAUAUCUUUGGCAGCAACAAAUGGUCGAUUGUUUUCAUUUGGAGUAGUUAUCAUAGCAGUCAAUAAACCUCCUGUACUUGUUUCUCCAAUUACAUCAAAGUAAUCUGCAAGUCUUGCAUCUGUAUUAUUGUCAAAUUCCUGACGCAAAAAGAAAGCAAGUCAUAUAAAUUGAAACAAAAACAAUUCACUCACAGGGGUGGACCUACGUGGGUGGCGAGGGUUCACCCGUACCCCUCGACAAAAAAUUACAAGGUAGCUUUUCAACAUCUCUAUAUACAGGGGCGGAGCCAACAUACAUUCAAGGGUUCAUACGAACCCCCUUAGGUGGAAAAUAUUACUAUUUAUACAUGAUUAAUUUUUUAUUUUUUUAUGUAUAUAUAGUAGAUGUCGAAUCUUCUUCGAUUAGUUCGUGUGUUUACUUCUUUAGAUUUUGAACCGCCUUAUUAAAAAUCCUCACUCCACCACUGUUCACUUUCUCACACUAAAAAGUGAUAGUUUAGGUAUGAAACUCAAAAAAAGUGUAUAGUUUAUGUGUGUUUUUGACAUUUAUCUCUGUUGAGAUUUAUGCAGUUUUGAUGAUUGACAAAGAAAGACGAAACACGUCAGUCAAUAUGGUCCAAAAGGUGCACUGUCAUGAGUAGUUAAAUUCGAGAAAGCUUUUAGAAUGAACAAAGACAAGAGUGCAGAAAUAAAGGAAUGAAUAAUGUUAAUUUCGUGAGAAAACCCAAGGAAAUAAACACCUGAUGAAUUGAAGAGAAAGAAUCAAUGAGUUUGAUUUGAAGAAGGAGUCUAAAGAGGCAAGGAGUUUUAAUUGAAGAAGGAGCCUUACUUAAAGUAGAACUCUUCAAGUUACUGCUGGAUUGAAGUGUUGGAGUUUGACUACAAUAUAAAAGAAUUAAUGAAUGUAAUUUGAAGAAGGAGUCUAAAGAAGCAAGGAGUUUGAAUUGAAUAAUGAGUCUUACUUGAAGUAUAACUCUAAGUCAAGAGAGUUCAUGUCAAUGAGGAGUUUGGAGUAAACAAUAACUCUAUGAAGAAUUGUGCUUAAAUAGAGGCGAAGUCGUCCAGAAUACUUGUGCACUUAUAGAGCAAAAAGAGCAAUUGAGAAAUUGACUUCGCAAGUGCUACUAGCGAACUGAAGGAACACAUAGAAGGAACACAUUGAAGAACCUAAUCCUUCUACAGAGUUUAUGUGUUAGGAGUUUUUCUUUGUGAUUGAGUCUUGAUGUAAUCUUAGUUCAGUAAGUUAUAAAACUGAAUUAGAAGUGUUGUCUUUAGGUUGUGAUAACUCGAAGAGUUGGGAACAUAUACCUUGGGAGGUUUGUGUUGAAGGUUAGGAAUUAAAGUUAGUUCCUAGGAUUACAAGAGUUGUAAUCUAAAUCUAUAACUUGAAGUUAAGGUAGGUUGCAAAGUUUGUAAUCUAUCUUUUGUGGAGGCUCAGUGAUUUAGUGAAGUUGGAGUUAAAUCCUGUAGGGGUAGAUGUCGUGGUUUUUUACACCUUUUGAGCCGGGUGUUUUCCACGUAAAAAUAUUGUGUUUUUACGUACUGUCCUUACUGCUUUGUUGGAACACGUUAGACAACCUGUUUCACACUUAGGCGAAAAGUUAAAAUCAAUAAACAUAUGUGAAUUGUUCAUCUUAAAUAAGUUGUAUCAGGCUCAAUUUUUUUUUACUUUUUAUACAGAUCUUUUUUUAAAGCCAUCACCAAAUAGUUGUGGGUCAUAGUAUGGUGGGGUUUACACCAGAAGUUUACUCAAUUACGUACAAAAAUACUAAAUAUUUCAUUGCUCUCGAAUAUAUUCCUUGGAUAUCCAAUACAUUACAAAUGAUACAUUACUUAAUGGGAGAAAGUGCGGCUAUGCAGUGGAAGGGAAAGAGCCUAAAUCGACCCCCUUCUUUUUUUCUUUGAAAAAAGCAGUAAGGAGUAAGGAGAUUAAACUCCCUUCGUAGGGGUAGGAAAAAGAAAGAGAUUAGAUAAGUAUAGAGUAGAUUUAAAUCCAACCAGCAAGGCAUACGGUCUUGGACACUUAACCAGCUCUUGAUGAGCGGUAUCCACCUUCACCUUAUUCUGCUCUCCUUAGCCUCCGGCUUGGGCGUGGUGAAGCAAGGGUCAAUGAGAUCGACCCCGAUCAGUGCAGAUAGAUAGUUAGAGUUGGCAGUUUCUUCAAAAAUUCUAAAAAGAGAUGUAUCUGAGAAGAGAUUUUGGUAAAUUUUUUUAAUGGUAGGGAACUUUAGAGACUAUAAUAUCUUAAGUUGUGCAUUUACUCAAAACAUAUUCUUCUUCUUUCUUUCGAUCCGUUUCGAGUUGUUUGACCUUUUCUUUUUUUUAGUCCAUCUAAGAAAAAUGUAAUUUUUUCUACUUUUUAGCGACUCUUUGAUUUCAACUUUCCAACUUGACAUAUUUAAGGUCAUGAUAUCAAAUGAUAUUUUGAUACGUUUGACAUAUCUUCAAUUUAAAACCAGAAGAUUUAAAAAUCUUUUUUCACGCUCUUAAAUUUCGUAUCAAGUUAAAAUUAGACAAAUAAAUUAAAACAGAGGAAUAUUAAUAUGUAUAUGUACCUUGAAUUAAAAAUCUGAGGGCCAUGUUGGAAGUAAAAAGGUACAAUAUCUUUGGCAGCAGCAAAGGGUCGAUUGUUUUCAUUUGGAGUAGUUAUCAUAGCAGUCAAUAAACCUCCUGUACUUGUUCCUCCAAUUACAUCAAAGUAAUCUGCAAGUCUUGCAUCCUGUAUUAUUGUCCACUUCCUGA